Molecule: long non-coding RNA, 86847 nt
Filed under: Citrus sinensis (sweet orange)
Lineage: Eukaryota; Viridiplantae; Streptophyta; Magnoliopsida; Sapindales; Rutaceae
Description: long non-coding RNA (CSIN_LNC000494)
Source: RNAcentral
GGAGGGAGGGGUGGUGAUGGGCUAAACGCCAGCCAGCACGUGCAAAUGCAAUGGAAGAUUGGAGAGUCAGCAAUCAUAAAUGAGAAGCAACACUUUCUACAUAACGACAAUCUUGAUGAUAACAUGCAAUUCAACGUCCGAUACGACUUGUCGCCAGAUGAUUGGUUGUAAGCGUACGGGAAUUCAAACUCUUACGUUUUCCUCCUUGAUACAUAUCACACAUAUAUAUAUAUAUAUAUAAGCUUCAAAUUGGCUUCAUUUAUAAGACCCUUUUCAUACAUAGCUCCCACAUUCUCCAAAUAAUAUAAUCAGUAUCUCAUUUUCUGAGCCUCGGAUCGCAGCAGCACUCGCAUCGCAGCUGUAUAUGGGGGAGAAGGUUUGUAAAUUGGCCUUUUGGUUAAAUUUUUUAUGUGCAUCUCAUGAUGAUUGAGAGAGAGAGAGAGAGAGAGAGAGAGAAAGAGAGAGUUGCUUCUGUUGUUGAUUAAUUCUUUAAUUUCAGAAAUUAACCAUUAAAAUAUUUCCCACUCCCUGGCCUGUAAUUACUAAAUAUCAGUGAUGGCUACAAAUCAUUCAUUAAUCAACUAUCUCUGUAAUGUUUACAGAAGGUUACGACGAUGGUGCUGAAGGUUGACCUUCAGUGCUCAAAGUGCUACAAGAAAGUCAAGAAAGUACUUUGCAAAUUCCCUCGUAAGUGUCUCUAUCUCCGAUCACUUUAAUAAUUAAUUAGUCGUGGGAUUGUGUUUUUUGUAUUUGUCAAUAAAAGUGGUUUAUUAUGGAUCAGUGAGCUAAGAUAUAUAUAUAUAUAUGUUGAAAACUUUAUGAACAAGAGAAAUACAAGACCAGAUAUUCGAUGAGAAGACGAAUACGGUGAGAAUAAAAGUAGUGUGCUGCAGUCCUGAAAAGAUUAGGGACAAACUAUGCUGCAAAGGUGAAGGUUCAAUCAAGAGUAUUGCAAUCCUGGAACCUGAAAAGCCUAAACCACCACCACCAAAACCCAAAGAACCCGAGAAGCCAAAAGCACCUGAGAAACCCAAAGAACCCGAGAAGCCAAAACAACCUGAAAAACCCAAAGAACCCGAGAAGCCAAAACAACCUGAGAAACCCAAAGAGCCGGAGAAACCCAAAGAGCCCGAGAAACCUAAAGAGCCCGAGAAACCUAAAGAGCCUGCGAAACCCAAAGAGCCAGAAAAGCCUAAAGAGCCACCAAAACCAUCACCACCGGCACCUGCACCGGCACCGGCACCGGCACCUGCACCAGCACCGGCUCCAGUUCCGUGUCACCCGCCGGUCGGGGUGUGCUGCAGGGAAUGUUAUGAGGGGCGCGGUGGGGGACCAUGUUACGAUCUUGGCUAUGGGCAAACGAGGCAUUAUGAUGGGUACUGUGGAAGGCCAGUGUAUGAGGGUUGGGCUGGCGGCUGCGAUACUAGAGGUUAUUACAGAAGUCGUUGCUCAGAUUACAUCUGUGAAGAAAAUCCAACAGCGCCUUGCACCAUCAUGUAAAUUCAUAUUACAUAUACAAAUCCAAUCCAUGCUACUGCCUACCGCCACCCACCAAUGAUCGUGAAUGGUGAUUGUCGGUGAUCAUGUCCUUUUCUUCUAGUUGCCUCUUGUAUGUUGUUGAUUUAAUCAUUUACUUUUUUUUUAUGAUGAUAAUAAAUAACAAUAAUGAUAUAGACUUUAUAGGAAGGAAAAUAAUAGCUAAAUAAAAGCAAGAUUGGUGGAUCCGUUGAUCAAUUUGUUGAUGCUACAAUUAAUUUAAUAAGAGGUUUCCAUUAAUAUUGAUUGCCUUUUCAAUUAAUUAUGCAUUUCCGAUUCCUAACCUUGUCCUUCACUUUCUGAUCGUGCACAUACGUAUGCCCUUUCUUAUUAUUUUAGUGAUGUCCUCCUGUUAAAGAUAUAUGUAGUCCGCUAGAGUCGCAGUCUUCUAGUUUUAUUUAAUGCUUUAUAAAAGGUGAGUAGUGCUUUUCGUUUUCGAAUGAAAUUUUGGAGACCAUAGAUUUUUAAAAUGCCUCUUUUUUUUUUUACUUCUCUCAAGUCCUUGACUCAAUUUCACCGUCUAGAAACGCCAAUGACAAAGGCACUCAAUUCACUCAAAUUUAAUUGAGCUGUCUUUUUAAAUUUAUCUUUUAAGAUAAGAGUCAAUGAUUUAAGCUAGUCAAGGUUAUUGCAAAUGAUUAAUGAGAAUGUUACUGAGAGCGGGGACAACGAGUUUACGGAAGAGCAAAUGCGAUAAACAAUGCGAAACCUCCAAGUUUUAUGGUCAUAAAUCUAUCGUAAGUAAAUCAGUAGAUUUUUUACAUGAAAAAAAAAACAAUUAAUAAAGAUAUAUAAGGAUGUAACUGUCCUUUUAUGAUUGUGUAAAUAUUUUUAACUAACUUAGAAUUCAAUGAAGGAUUUGAAUGGAACAAAUUGGGAAUUUGAAAUGGUUAAUUGUUAAGUGAUGCAUUUUAAAAUCGUAAUUUCAAUCUUUGAGUUUCUUUUCAAAAAGAAAAAUACAAGUAAGUAAAUUGAAGGAAACAAAAGGAGAUCAUUUCGAGCACGCUUCUAUGACAAGAAAAGGAAACAUUACACAAGUAGAAGAAACGCAACGUGGGGUAUUGUAGUUUGGUCCUAGCUUGUUUGGUGACGGAUUAGGCUUGAUUGGUACUGGUCGAGCUUCAAAAUAUGCCAUAGAUAGAGAGGCUACAGUCGUUAUUUAUCUGAAAAUUAAUUAAAAUGGAUGGAGAAAUUAAGACACCACACAGCCACUAAAAUCAGUAGACAAUAUCCUCCUCCUCUGAUUGAUAUUAGGGCCCCUUUUGAGAUUGCAUUUUAGAGGUUCAAAAAUAAUUUUAAAAAAUUAAUAAUUAAUUUUAUUAUCUAGUAAUUUUUUUAAUUUAUUUUUUGUAAGAUUACUCCAUCUUAAAAGAUAUUUUGAAAAGUAGGGAAGGUGUAACUUUUCAAAAAUUUAAUUUUGAGAAUCGGUUUUAUACUUAAUACAAUUACAUAUAUGUCCUCACAUAUUUUGUAAAAAUCUAAAAUUAUCCUUAUCAAUUGGGAAAUAAAAUCGCUACAUUUAAAGAUAUCAUUAUUAUUACCAAUUAUAUUUAAAUAACAAAUAAAAAUAAAAUUAAUAAUAUUAAAAUAUUCAUUUUAAUUAAAUUAAAGUAUAUAGAUGAUAAAAAAUAAUUUAUUUAUAUAUUUAUAAAUGUGUAAGCAAAUUUUAUUUAUCAUUACAUCCAUUUCAGUUAUUUGUAUUUUUACAACAGUUUAACAAUAAAUUUACCAAACACUUAUGACUGUUUUUGAAGCACACGAAAUUUUUUUAAAUAAAUUUACCAAAUAUUUAACAGACUCUCUUCACAAUUAUUUAUUACUACAGCAUAGUUAACAACGAUGAUUUUAAAAACUAUAAUAUUACCAAACUGACUGUAAGUGUUAAAUUUUCACUUGUUAUUGGCAUGCAUGGACCUGGACCCUCUCUAUAUGUAUAUACAUCUUAUAUAUGCUAGUUGCUACUUUUGUUAUAGUUAAUGUAUUUGACUAAGUAAACUAUAUAUUAAAAGGAAAAUGAAGGUGGAGAUGAAGGCAGAUGCAUGCCUGGAUGGAAAGGAAUCAUACGUAUAUACAAAUUCUAAAUUCCUUUAUUAUUAAUUAUUAAGCUGCUGCUUUGUUGGUCGGUACCCCAUCUAAAUCCAAUUGAAUUCAGUACACACACAUGGUCAUGCAUGCAUUUCCAGUUCAAAUCCAUGUGCUAAUUUAAGUAGAAGAUUGUUCAAUUAUUUUAAUGAACUCCCUUUUGGUGAUUUUAAUAUUUGAGCAAUCCAUUGAGGAGGUUUUACUCCUUUUAUGGUUUAAUUGCUACUAUAUAUAUAUAUAUAUAUAUUUUUAUUUUUUUUUUGCUAACUUUCGAAUACAAUAAAAUCAUUGGCGAUGUGGUUUAAUGGCAACGAGGCCCCUUUUAAUACAAAAAUUCGUGACGUGUUUAACUGGAUCGGGCCUCUGGGAAUCUAGCCCAAAUGAAUUAGAUUCAUUAAUUUCUUUCUUUCCUAUUUUGUGGGGUGGGAUAUGGCGGGAAAAUAUAUUAGUAAAUCCAAACAAUAAUACUAAAUGGGGAAAAUUUGUGGUGCAACUGUGGUACCGUGUCACAUUCACAUCCAGCUGUUGGAUUCUAAUGGACUCCACUCAUCUAAGUAUAUCCAACGGCUGGAUGCAGCUGUGGCACAGUACCACAGUUGCACCAUAGCCGGACCCUACUAAAUGCAGCUAAAUUAUCUCAAUAUUUCAUUCCAAUUGCUAAGUGAUGAAUAUCAUUAUCUGUGUUCGGGUUGAUUUUUGGACCUAUAAAUAAAGGACAUAUAGAUGAUUAUAUUAUUUAGACACAAUAUUUAGAGCAAUAUAAGGAUGUCACAAGAAAGAAUUUAUUCCAUUUGAUGAGCUUUAAAAUUUAGAGUAAUAAUAUAGCCAUAAAUUUUUGUACAAAUUUAUUUUGUACAAACUGAUAUGGUAUAAUAAAAUUGAUUGAAUUAAAUAUUUCUUGGCCCACAUGAUCUAUUUUUAUUAUUUUGUAUUUUUAUUCAACCAAUGAAUUAAUGUCAAAUCAGUUUGUAAAGAGAUAAGUUUGUACAAGAAUUUAUGGUUGUAUCAUUGAGAUAAGACUUUUAAAACAUAUUUUUGGAAAGAAUAGUACAAAAAAAAUAAUUUUCUACCUUUUCUUAAAUGCGACAUAUAACUUAAAGAUAUUCUCCCUUUUUUUUUUAACCUAAGCAUGCCAUUUAACUCUAAAAAUUUAUCCACUCUCUUUACCACUAGCCUCUGCCAUAUAAAUGCCAUAUUUUUCAAAAUGGAGAGUGUCCUUUAUGUUUGGGGCUCCUUUACCUCCUUCUUCGAUCAUCAUCCACUUUUUUGUUUUUUGGAGGCUAUUUCUACCAUUUUCUAUUCUUCAUUUUUAUCAUCUCUUCCACCGUAUUGUUAUCACUCUAGCUCUACAUCUUCAUUCACUAUCUCUAUCUUUAACAACGCCCACAUCUCCAUACAAACAUCCAACUCAUUUUAUGUAUAUCUGCUAAUCUCACGUGAAUGUAAGCCAAAAGAUGAACCAUAUAGUGUAUGUGUGCUCUUUAAAUUUGUGUUUGUUUUACUAUAUCUACAAUUUGAAGUUCAAAUCAUAUUUCAAAUGUAAGCCACAUGAAGUACUUUAGUUUUCCUUGUGAUCUCUUUUGAGCUCCACUUAACUCACUUGAGUUAUCCAACUCUCCAUAUUGCUUAACCUAUCAAUGGCUUACCUUGUUGUUCCUCCACUAAAUAAAACAAAUCUUCAUAUUGCUUAACCUAUCAAUUUAUGGAGGUGAAUGUGGCUGAUUCAGGGGCUGCCGUGACUGGAGAAAGACGCCAGCGAGGAGAGGAGACUCCAGCGGUGGUAGAACACAACUGGCUGCCCGUGCAGCCAUGGGCGGCUGAUCAAAGUUUACAUUCGGAUCCGGUAUAGAAUUUCCAUUUGGGUCUAGAAUCGGAAAAGUCGAACCUAGACCCGAACCGGAACUCGAAUUUUGCCAUCCCUAUUCUAAAGAAGGAUUCAAAAAAAUUAAAAUAACCUGCAUUGAGUUCGAAUUAAUUCCAACCACAAAUUCUUCAAAACCUUCUGACAGCGUGAUCAACUGCCAAAAGUUAUGCAUAGAAGGCUAUUUGUUGCCCUGCCCCUAAAAAUGGUCAAAAUUUCCAAGUUAGGAGCCUUCAUAGCAGCGAAAAAUAGUCCUGAACGCCGAGGGACCAGGAUUAAUUUUCCUUAAAAAAGACCAUCCGCAUUGACAUUCAUCCAGUCUACAUGAGGGCGAAAAUACGUACUUAAUGCACGCAUUGUGUUAUUCUUUGAUCAUCGUGCACAUCCUCCACAUAAAACUAAUUAAAAGUAGUGUAUAAGAAAACUAUCUUAUACUAAUGAUUGGGUAAGAUUUCCACACAUCUGAUGCUCGAUCACAAGAAGGCAGGAUACUAAUGGUGAAGAUAAAUUAUAAUUUGGAUUAUUUGAAUAUUUAACAUAGAUAGCCAAUCAGGGAAAAGAAAAAAAAAAAAAAAGAAGAUAGAUGGAGAUCAAGACAGAUGGUUAAGUAGACAAAAUUAAAUAAUCAACUCUACAAAUGUGAUAACUUGCUUAUCAUUAUGACUUGUUCAACAAAUUUAAAGAAGUCUCUAUCUGUGGCAUUAUUUAUCUGGAGCUCUUCGAGAAGGUUUCAAUCGAUCCUUAACUUUUUAUUAAUUUGUGGCAUUAUUUAUUAAAUAUUUAGGUUAUAACGAUAAUGAUGUCGACUUCUUUCUUUUUUUCAAAAAACUAAAUUUAAAGAUAGGAAAAAAAAAUCGUAAAAGCUUGUUAAAAUCUGAAAGGAUGCGAGUAAAAUGAACUCUUUCUGAAGAAUUUAUAAGUGCGGCAUUAUUAAAGGUUGGAAAUUAUAUAGUUAAUUAGAAUAUUCGGAGGAGGACGACGACUGAACUGUGAUUGACUCACUAAUGAGAGAUUGAUUAAAAAUAAAAUUUAAUGUACAAAAAGGGAAAAAAAAAAAAAGAAAGAAAAGAAAAGAAAACUGACAUUAAACGAUAAUAUAUUAAGAAAGAAAAGAAAAGAAAACUGACAUUAAAUGUACAAAAAGGGAAAAAAAAAAAAAGAAAGAAAAGAAAAGAAAACUGACAUUAAACGAUAAUAUAUUAAAGGAGUAGUAGUGUUCUAAAUUUUAACAGCUGUAAUCAGAAGAAAUCUGCGAUAUGAUGCAUGUUCCAGUGGACAAAAUGAACUUGUAUCCAGAGAAAUAUGAACAUAUGUUUACCUAAUAUUCUACCUACGUGUCUGACGACCCCAAAUUUGUUUGCUUUGACAACUAAUACUGUACGUGUAUGCGAAUGUGAGCGUGACGUCUUCUUAAGAUGUAUAUAGUUUUCGGCCAUUUCAUUCAGUAAUAUAACGUCAAACGAUUAAUCAUCAGUAGCCGAGUAUUCAGAUCGGAUCACAAGACCAUGCCUGACAAGGUUUGCAAAUCUUUUUACUCAUCUUUUACUUUGCUAGAUCUGCUCUUUCUUCAUUCCCCAAUCCCCAUUUUGUUCAAUUUCAUUUCUCUAGCUACGACGAUCACUUUAGUUUCCUGUGAUGAAUCACAUAAAUACAAAAUGUUAAUGAUUGUGUGUGUGUGUGUGUAUCACACAUGCUGUUUACUUUGUGGCAGCUGCAGGUUACAACAAUGGUGCUGAAGGUUGACCUUCAGUGCUCAAAGUGCUAUAAGAAAGUCAAGAAAGUACUUUCCAAAUUCCCACGUAAGUAAUUUAAUUGAAUUUCUCUGCUAUGUCUACACAUAUAUAUUUUGUGAAAAUGAAAAAUUAAUGUUAUUGAUGAUCAGUGGGCUAAGGGUCGUAUGUAUGUAUGUAUGUUGUGUUGAAUUUUGUGAACAAGAGAAAUACAAGACCAGAUAUACGAUGAGAAGCAAAACAAAGUGACAAUCAAAGUCGUUUGCUGCUGUCCCGAAAAGAUGAGGGACAAGAUAUGCUGCAAGGGUGAUGGCGUAAUCAAGAGCAUUGAAAUCAAAUCACCUGAUGAUCAGAAGAAGAAGAAGGAGGAGCCUGCUGAUAAGAAAGAGCCCGAAAAGAAGAAAGAAACACCUCAGACUGAGAAGAAAAAAGAAAAAGCAGAAGAGUCGAAACCUAAAAAUAAGGAGCCUGCGCCUGAGAAAGGAAAAGAAAAAGAUCAGCCAGAGAAAAAGAAAGAACCUAAAGAUACACCUAAGCCUAAGGUUGACCCACAGCCUAAGGUUGACCCACCAGCACCGGGUUACCCACCCCCUUAUUACCCAUUUGGGGUGUGCUGCCCCGAGUGUUAUGGGGGGCACGGUGGGGGGCCAUGUCACCGUUACGGACCGCCACCGAAAAUAUGGUACGAUGGUUAUUAUGGAAGGCCAGUUUAUGAUAGUUGGGGCGGCAGCAGCAAGUAUUACGGAUACCGUUCUGAUUGCCUCUCUGAAGAAAAUCCUUCAGCUUGCGCAAUCAUAUGAAUCAUAUUAAUUACUACUGGAUUAUAUUAUAUUCGUCCUUGUCAUGUAUUUUUGUUAUUAUUAUUCAUAGUCUAAUAUUUUCUUGCGUUUUCUUGAUUGUGAUCGAGUAAUGGUCAUCUAAUUUGUGGUUCCCCCCACGCCCCCCCGCCCUCUCUAUAUAUAUAUAUAUGAAAUGUUCAAUUUAUAACUCGUAAGGGGUUUUUACACAAAUCUUUUAAUUUUUCCUUCCCUUCUUUGGAUACCAAACAAUGGGAAGAAAGAGAGAGAGAGAGAGACGACGGAGAUAUGAGAAUUAAAAAUCAAACUUUAGUGAAUGUACAAAAAACUGAAAGUCACGGGGGCUAAGGGUAAUUGGUUGAUACAACAGUGAUGACAGCAUGCAUUUAUGGUUGAUGGGUAAGAUUUCCACAUCAUUGUGGUCCUCACUUUUAAUGCUGAAAAUAAAAUUUAAUGGCAUACACGGUCCAUUGUGGAACAAGUCGAAUUAGAGGUAGAUCUAUAAAUUAAUGGACAUCAAGGCAAAAUUAAAAGGAAUCGAUAUAGACUCUUUCAAUUUAAUUAUUCAAAUAUUUAUUUAUUUAUCACAUAAAUAAAAGACUAAAGUGUUUGGUAAAUAUUAAUUACUGUAACUUAAAAAUUAUGUUAAUAUAAUUUUUCACUCAUAUGAUAAAAAAUUUAUUAUAUUUUUAAUAAUUUUGUCAAAAUUAUUACUUAAAAUUUAUAUUUACUACAUAUAAUUAACUUUUGUUUUAUGGUUACAACUUUUUUUCUACUCCAGCUGUAAUUUAAAAGAUACAACACUUCAAUCUUAAAUGUGACCUAAAAAAAUUAAUCAUCUUCCAAAAGACUUUUUAAAUAAAAUUAAGUUCAUAUUAUUUUAAUCAAUUUUUUUCUUGACUAAAAUAAUAACAAUUAUAAACAUCACUCCAUUCAAGAAUGAGAAAAUAAAACUAAUAUAAUAUUAAAUUGAAGGUUCUAAGAGAUUCUCUAAAUGGGAUUCUCUAAAUAAGAUUGUCCCUCUUUUUAUAUUAUAGAAAGAGAACGGUAAUCUUAUUUGAAAAGUCUUUUAAAAUAAUUUUUACUUAUGUGGUUUUUCAAAUUAUAAGUAAAAUUUCAUUUAAAUAGUCUUGUAAUGGUGCUCUAAUAAUGCUAGCCACUUCCUGUUAUCAGUAGAGUUGAUGCAUGCAAGUGCUUCUGGUUGGUUAUUAUUGGUUAAUAAUGCCUAGGCUAUUACCUGGCUCAUACUCUCUCAUGUCCAUGUGCAUCAUCACUAUUCACCAACACAUUGGUAACAUUUUUUUGUUAAUGAAGAGAUUCACUAAGCCAUUGAAAUUUUAUCUAAGGACAUGUUUGGCAUUGAGGUUGGGUAACUAUAGACUUUAAGUUACAGUACUAAAAUAUUAGGUAAAUACUAAUUAGUGUAACUUGAAAGAUAAAUUGAUUUAUGAAAAACUUAUAAUAUGUUUAUUAUUUUUUAAAAAAUAUUAUUUAAAAGUUAUAUUUAUUAUACAUUAUCUAUUUUUAUUUAAAAAUUUUUUUUUUUACAACUAUUAUAAUUUAAAAAUUAUAGUAUCUCAAUAUCAAAUAGGGCCUCAAUUGAGGCUUGAGAUAUAAUUCAGAAUCUAAAUUUUAGAUACGCAAUACCUCGACUGAGGAUUGGGGUCCUUUUGCUCAAUCUAUUGAGCCGCAAGCUACUUAGCCCAAUUUUUCUGUUUGGGCUCAUGAUGUAAGCCCAACCUACAUAGUUUGCUCAAAUAACCAUUUUCCCCCUUUUUUUUCUGUACUCUUCAAUUUCUCUCCCAUUGUUGAUAAGGGUGGUCCCGUUGUUUGUGCCGCGAGAGAGAGAGAGAGAGACGCAGAGACUCUUCUACUGCAGUUUAUCGCGUGGGUGCGUGCGUGUAAUAUAACAUAACUCAGCCUGAGGUGAGUGUUGAACAAUGGCUUCCAAUCUCUGCUACUCAACGUGUUCUCUCUUUUCAACACCAAAGCUUGGAAGAAGAACCUUCACUUUCUCUUUUCAACGCGACGACUCCCUCUCAUUUUACUCCAAAACCUCUCUCCAAAAACGCAGCGUUUCGUUGCAAGAAACCCAGAGCUCAAACCCUACAAAGCAUUCGCAAAAUCCUCAAUACCCGCACGGAAAAACUGGUUCUUCUCCUAAAAGCUACAUCUGGGUCAAUCCCAAAAGUCCAAGAGCUUCCAAGUUGAAGGAAAAAUCUUAUGAUACGAGGUACAAUUCUCUUGUUAAACUUGCCGCAGAUUUGGAUUCUUGUAGUGCGACUGAAGAUGAUGUUUUUAGUGUUUUGCGUUGCUUGGGUGAUGAUUUCUUAGAGCAAGAUUGUGUCAUUAUUCUUAAUAACAUGACCAACCCAGAUACUGCAGCGCUUGCUUUGACAUAUUUUACAAAUAAAUUGAAAGCUAGUAAAGAAGUGAUUCUUUACAACGUGACUAUGAAAGUGUUUAGAAAGUGUAGAGAUUUGGAUAAAGCCGAGAGGUUGUUUGAUGACAUGCUUGACCGAGGUGUUAAGCCAGAUAAUGUUACCUUUUCGACUUUGAUUAGUUGUGCUAGGAUGAAUAAUUUGCCUAACAAGGCUGUUGAGUGGUUUGAGAGGAUGCCUAGUUUUGGAUGUGAUCCUGAUGCACUUACUUAUUCGUCUAUGAUUGAUGCAUAUGGUAGGGCUGGUAAUGUGGAAAUGGCUUUUGGUUUGUAUGAUAGGGCAAGGAAUGAGAAAUGGCGUAUUGAUUCUAAUGCUUUUUCUACUUUGAUUAAGCUAUAUGGGACAGCGGGUAAUUUUGAUGGGUGCUUGAAUGUUUAUGAAGAAAUGAAAGCGAUUGGUGUUAAGCCGAAUAUGAUUACAUAUAACAAUUUGUUGGACACAAUGGGAAGAGCGAAGAGGCCUUGGCAGGUGAAGACUAUUUACAAAGAGAUGACCGACAAUGGACUUUCCCCAAAUUGGAACACCUAUGCAUCUCUGUUGCGGGCUUAUGGGAGGGCCAGAUAUGGGGAGGACACUCUUUCUGUUUACAGGGAGAUGAAGGAGAAGGGAAUGCAGUUGAGUGUGACUCUGUAUAAUACACUCUUGGCCAUGUGUGCUGACGUAGGGUACACUGAUGAAGCUUUUGAGAUAUUUGAAGACAUGAAGAGUUCUGAAAAUUGCCAGCCUGACAGUUGGACAUUUUCUUCCAUGAUUACCAUAUGUUCAUGCAGGGGGAAGGUCUCUGAGGCAGAGGCCAUGUUCAAUGAGAUGUUGGAAGCGGGCUUUGAGCCUAAUCUCUUUGUUCUGACAUCACUUAUCCAAUGCUAUGGAAAGGCCCAGCGCACUGAUGAUGUUGUGAGGGCACUCAACAGACUGCCAGAGUUGGGCAUAACUCCUGACGAUCGGUUCUGCGGCUGUCUUCUGAAUGUGAUGACUCAAACCCCGAAGGAGGAGCUUGGUAAGCUUGUUGAAUGUGUUGAAAAGUCCAAUUCAAAGCUGGGGUAUGUGGUGAAGCUUCUAUUGGAGGAGCAAGACAUUGAAGGGGAUUUCAAAAAGGAAGCAACUGAACUCUUUAAUUCAAUUAGCAAAGACGUCAAAAAGGCUUACUGCAAUUGCUUAAUUGAUCUCUGUGUCAAUCUUAAUCUGUUGGAAAAUGCAUGUAAGCUUUUAGAACUGGGGCUUACACUGGAGGUUUACACAGAUAUACAAUCCAGGUCUCCAACUCAGUGGUCUUUACAUCUGAAGAGCCUCUCGCUUGGAGCAGCACUGACUGCAUUACACAUUUGGAUAAAUGACCUGUCGAAAGCGCUGGAAUCUGGAGAAGAGUUUCCGCCAUUACUUGGUAUCAAUACUGGGCACGGGAAACACAAGUACUCAGACAAAGGAUUAGCUAGUGUUUUCGAGUCACAUUUGAAGGAAUUAAAUGCCCCUUUUCAUGAUUCCCCAGACAAGGUUGGCUGGUUUUUGACUACAGAGGCUGCAGCCAAGUCAUGGUUGGAGUCUAGAAGCUCACUGGUCUCAGUUCCUGCCAAGGUGACUGCCUCGUAAGUGUCUGGCAUUCCUGAAUCAGGUUGUAUGCUUAGCAAUGAUGUGCUCACCAUCUCAAACUCCCCUUUUUUUAUGUUCUGGGCUAUAUGUCUCUUGACGGAGGAAGAAUUUUUGUUCUAUUAGACCAUAACUUUUGUUUAUACUUUGAAUUUUUAUAUAUAGAGCUAAUGAAAUUAUGGAAAUGUAAAUUUCGUACUUGCUACUGGAUUUGGGAAGUUGUAUUGAAAAUAAUCAGUCAGUGCUAACUGCUAUCGGUAGGAAGCUUGCUGGUGCUGACUGUGAAAACAUUAUUGAUUUGCACUACAAACGGCCAUUGAGCCAAACACAUCACCACCCAAGCUCUCAAAUUAUUAGCAUUUGUUUAUUAAAAGAAAAAAGAAAAUUAAAAACAUGAAAUAAUUGAAGAAAACAAAAUGCAAAAACUUUUGAUUCUUUGGUAGCCUAUAAAAACCGGACAGAAAUUUGACUUCCAAAUUAUUAAAUACUUCUGAAAGGGCACGGAUAUUUGACCUUGUGGAAAUAAACAAUGUUAUGAUAUGUUCCACAUCUUCUAUUCUUCUUAGUUAAUGCAAACUUGUAUCACGCCCCUUAUUGACUUGCUUAUUCAGAGCCCACUAAAAAAUGUUAAUUAGCAAACCGAAGUAUGUACUUGCCAUUUCUUUAGAAUAAAAUUCGUCACUAGUUUAUACUUUAUAAUGAAGCAUCAUGGUUUGCACUUUGCACGUUAGGUUGCCGUCAACGUGAAAACAAAUUAAAAGCAUCAAUAUAAAUUGCUAAGAGUACAAACUCAAAUGAUGAGUGCACAAUGGGAAAGUUGGUGCCUGUUCUGUCCUGCAUUUCGCACAAGAAAGUUAGGAUUAUUCCUUUGAAUGGCAAAGAAAAAGAUUUACAAAAGCAUAGUGACAAGGCGUACUCUUCAUUGCCUCAAGGUACCAAGCUUGAGGCAAGGGAGGCUAAAAAGGAGAGAGUGAAGAUUGUGAUCACAUGGCAGCAAUUGGAGUUACUGCUGACAAGUGCAAACAAGUUCCAGUCUGGAAAAGUUUCUGUUCGAUUCUCUGAGAAUUUAAUGAAACAGUGUCGGAAAUGGCAUCCAUCUUUAGCUUCCAUUCCGGAGGUGCCAAAUCUUUGAUCAGCUUUUCCUCAUCACAAUGCCGUUGAUGAAUUUACUGUAUAGUUCACUAGAUUGUAGAAAGUAGCUGCUCAAGAGCAGGAGGGUGUUUUUUUUUUCUUUAAAUCGGGUGUCAUUGCUUCGAUCUAUUUCCUCCAUUAUAGCAAUUUUUUAGCUGUAAUUGCGGAUUAUUUUUUGGUUAUAAUAAUUCCGAGAGUGUCUCUAGUGUUUCUCUUUAUAUUUAGGAAAACUAAUGCUCGUAUUGUUUAAAUCUUAAGAAGUAAAUGCCAUGAAAUCAGUGGAUUCAGCAUAACGUAUACGCAAUUACUCCGGGGCCUAGUUUGAUCAGCCACGAUGGAAAAUUCCUUCUCAGAAAAAAAUGUUUCUGAACUCAAAUCCUUUGGUCUGUUUAUGACAAACAAUUCAUAUUUCACUCAUCUGGUAGUUUUAGAUAUUGAUUGGAGAACUGGUGAGUGUAACUUGAGCAUCUAAACAAACAGUCGACAGAAAUCAUAUUGCAUACACAAGCAUUUGAAAACACAAUUCAACACACUCCAAUGAAAUCACAUUGUCAGCUUCUCGCUCUCUCACAAUCUUCUUUUAGUCAUAACUUAUUCAACUAUUUGCAAAAUAAUCCUUAUUUACAGUGAAAAAUCAGCAGAAAUGAAUUAAACGAAUUCCUGAGGCAUGCAACUUUCCAAAGGAAGCUUCAAGGUGCUUUGUUUACCCUGCUGCAAUUUAGACCAUCCAGAAUGUUAGGGAAAGCAACAGAGAACAAAAGAAAUUUAAAAAAAAUAAAAAUUAAUGGAUGUUUCACCAACCUUCUUGAAGAGCUUGUGCUUCUGAUUUUUCUGGUGUCAUCCAGUUUCGCAGAUAUAGCUUCCUUUUCUCUAGCCGCUGCUUCUCUCUUAAUUUUCUUGGACUCAGCUUCAAUGGCUUUUGUCAAUGCAUCAACCUUCCUUAUGAGCAUCUGAAAUGAAAGGAAGGUUAGACAAUUAAUACCUCAUGCUUUAACCACAUGGUGAGUAAGAAGAGAUAAUUGAAACAACACUUCAACCUUGAUUUCUUCAUCUUUAGCAUUCAAGCAACUGUCUUUAGACUCACAGAACUUCCUCAAAAGUAUGACUUCCUUUUGUAGUCUGUCAUACAGAAACCCAGAAACCACAUCUUCUUUAACAGGGUUGGGAUUUCCCUUGUUCUGAGAAACUUCAUGUUCAUAGCCACCAACUUUGUUUUUGACUUCUACUGAGACGUUUGUGUCACCAAUUUUAAACUCAUCAAUAUUGUUGUCUUUGUUCUCCUUCACCUGAGUAUUUUCCUUGCCACAACUGCUAUCAACAACCUUAUUUUUCGAUGGCCAUAUGCUUUUCCUCAGCACGUUUUCUCCGGCAGCACAUUUCUUUCUGAAGCUAUCAGCUCGCUUUAGUCCUCCAGUAAAAUUACCAUUGACCGUUGCAUUUUCUGAGUUUGGCUGAUGCAGUAGAGAGUUUCUACUGAUAGUAGAAGCCCUUGGCUGUGAUGUUGAUCUCUUCCUUAGUCCACCGUUGGCUGUUAAGAACCCCAAAAUAAUGUUACUGGAUUUUUCUGUUUUAGGUGACCCGCAAAAUGUAUUAGGACUGCCCGAGAAACUUGACACGUGCUUUAAGCCUUCUUCCAGAGUCUUUAGCCUUAGCUUCAAUUUUUCCUAAAAUUAAUUCACAUCCGCACAGAAAAUUCAACUGACGGUGAAAAUAUUAGGACAAACUAAUUGUAGAUAUAAUAAAGGAAUCGAAUUUAACCUUCAGUUGUGCUUCCGCCUUGGCUGUUCUCUCUGAUAUAGCUAGCUUGUCUUUUAGUCUCUGCAUCUCAGCCUAGACAUAUAGGGAUGUGGUUAGUCAUAGAAGCCCAAGAAACUUUUAGAAUAUCUAAAUGGCAAAAAAUAAAUAAAUGAAUUCGAAACCUGGAUCCAAGAACCUUUUCCGAUAAGGGAAAUACCUGCAGCAAUCUUCUCUCUUCCAGCCAUUGUCUGACGGGCAUUACUUUGUCAUUUUCAUCCUUCCAUUCAUUAGCCACCACGGUUGCUACUCGGUUUGCUGAAACUUUAACUCUGGCAAGCUCCCUCUCCAGGGUCCUUUUCUCCUCCUGAAAAUGUUAAGGUUACAGGAUCAUUGAAUGGACCUUAUCGACAGAACUAAAAAUCACAACACAUAAGUAUGACACCUACAUUUAGCUCAGUAAUUUGUCGCUGAUAGUCACGAAUAGCAUUAGCUGCAGACCCACCUGCGAGAACAGCUUCCUCAAGUUCUUUAAUGGUUCCGCUAAGCUUUUCAACCUCCAAUACCUUUUGGCGAUUGGUUUUCUCAAGGAUUCUGUUCUCUUCCUGCAUAAUCGUAAUGUCAAUUUGGCUAAUAAUUCAAAAGUCUUAGUACAUCAUCAAAUGUGAUGGGUUCAGUCCGGAAAUCAUGCCUGGCAUAUCUCAAUCUGUCUCUUCAACUCAAAGUUUAGGUUUUGAACCUCCUCAACUAUCAAAGCUCUUUCCAGAGCACUUCGCAGGAUCUUCUCUGCCUCUAGUAGAGCCAUCUCUUUUGCCUUAGUGUGACGUUGCAAAGCCUUCUUGUCCUCUUGAAGAGCAGCAAUCUCUUUUUUAUAUGUUUUGAUAUCCGCCUCCAGGGGAGCAAGGACAGACUCAAUAGGAACUGAAUCAUCAUCUUUAAGAUUUGCAUGCACCCUUCUAAGAGUUGCUUCCGCAGCAUAUUGUGCAGCUAAUGCAUCUUUCUUCUCGCCUGUUACUUUCUUUAUUUCAAGAUUCUGCAUUGUAUCAUGUUAGAAAAAUAUAUCCUUAUAAUAAUACUCACAAGUUAAGCCUCGAAAAUAAUGUAAAAUUCCAAAAGGUAUCACUUAGACCUUGACCUACCCUAUGUUCCAGGACGUUUUGGGUGACUCUGAGUUUCCCGUCUAUCUUACCAAACUCAUUUCUGAGCUGUAAAUGCAGAAAAUAAAGAAUCAAUACUAAAUUUACCAUAAACACAAACAUUUUGGCUAAAGUUAAUUAGUAGCCUGUAUAUAUGUGUAUGUAUAUUUAUUUAUUUUCGUGUGACAAUAAUAAUGUAUCUAUGCGAGUAUUGAAUGCGCAUAUAUGGAUAUCAAAUUGAACUACUAAAUUUGCUUGCAUAGAAAUUCUGAGUACCUCUUCUAUAGCCUUAUCUUUCAGAACUUCAGUUGCUCUUAGUGCCUUGAUUUCACCCUGAGCAUCCGCAAGCUCCCUAUCCUUCUCUGGAAUAAUGUAAAAUAAAAAUUAUUGUCAUAAGCCGAGUAAGCACACACCUGGAAUUUGGACAGCUCAAAAACAAAAUAGUCAUAAAAGCAUGAACUAUGAAGAAGAGAAAAACCUUUAAGCUGAUUCUGUAAACGAUUGAGUUCUAAAACAACAGGAUCAGGAUGAGCAAGAGAGAGCUCUUCAACUCCGCCAAGUUUGAGUUCAUCAAAACCAACCAUCUUUUGGCUAUCUUAGUACAAUGCACGAAAAUAUGGCAUGGAGAAGAAGAAGACGCUGGGGUUUAUAAGAGGGUUUUCUGUGAAACAUGGAGAGAGUCCAUUCCUUUAAGGAAUUGACUGCAAAGAGAGGGAGGCUCUUCCCUUACUCUUAAGCAAUAUCGAUAGUUACAUUUCAUGAGAACCGGCCAAGCCGGCUCUUUCAUUUUGACAAUAACGGUUACUUUCUUUUGUGAUCUUGAUAUUGAUUUUAAAACGUUUUAGUUUCUUAACUGCAAUGAUAAGCCUAAAGCACUAUCUAUUGUAAAUUUUUUAAACAAAUAAAUUAUCCUGCUCAACGGUUCUGAUUGCAAAUAUUAAGUGUCAAUUUUUGUAGCACCAUCACCACCUAUUCGUUCACCUAAUCCAGUUGUGCAAAUGCAUUUGGAUUAUUCAACAAACGUACCCGAAAGUGUAUUGGUUGGAUAUAUAUGCCAUUUGUUGGCCUCAAACCUGGCCAACCGAAGCCGGAGAAUCGGAAUUUUGCACAUAAUUUUACAUUCCCAUUAGAUCAAUUGAGGCCCUUUCUCUUUUGUUUGGUGAAUGUGAUAGACAGAAAAGUGGUAGGUGUCAUUUGAUUCUCAUAUGGUUUAUUUAUUUAUACAACUUCGGCCAUAAAAAUAAAAAAAGAAAACAAGUCUAGUGUAAUGAAUGCCUUCAAAGAUUCUUUAUCAAAGAUAGCGUCAAUGAAAGAUAUGUAUAUCUGCUUUUAUUCAAGAUGAAAAGGAAACCCUCUAGAAAUUUUUAUUUCAGACUAACUAAUCAAGUUUUUCUUAAGCGCUAAAUCCUGCAUAAACCAUGCCUUUAAAUUAACUUAGUGGGCGUCACUCGAGCAUGUUUUUGAACCUAAGCAAAUCAAAAUGAGGUGUUGACGACUCUUAAAUGAAAGUGACAAACUAAAGUGGCUUUCAAGAACAAACUUUAAAAUAAAAAUGAAAAAAAGGAAAAAAAAUUCUGCUGAGAAUGCUUGACAUCUUUGCUUUAAAGUAUAUAUGAUGAACGAAUAAAAGAGAAUCACAUGAAGCUAUCCAGCUACUAAGUGCUUGUGCAAGCACUUUUAGCCAUUUGGCAAAUUCUUGAAUAUAAUUAUUUUUAGAGGACAAAUGGAAGUGUCUACUUUCGCUACCUACAACAACAACAACGCCACCACUACCUAAUUGAGCCUCAGAGUAAAGAACUCAUAAGGGCUAUGACCAGACCCAGAUAGCACCAAAAGAGUCAGAGGAGUUUUUGAUUUAAUUAAGCUAGAUUGUAGGGGUUUUAUAUUAUGUUAAUCAUUACUUAAUUGAAUUCUUCACAAUCCACUUUGUUUUGAUGAAGUGAUGUGAUGUGAGUUCAAGCUAAUAUUUGAAAGAAUUGUCUUCAUUGUGUGUUCCGAGUUGGAUUUGGGUAGGUAAGUAUUUGAAAAUAAAGUACUCGAAGUUUCAUACUUAAGGUGCAUUUAAGAUUAAAAUUGGACAGCUAUAGUUUAAAAAAUACAGUAGUAAAGUGUUUGAUAAACACUAAUUGCUACAAGUUGGAUGUUAUGUUGAUAUGAUUUUUCAUUUGUAUGAUAAAAAUUUUAUUAUAUUUUUAAUAAUUUUAUUAAAAUUUAUAUUUACUACAUAUUAUUAAUUUUUGUUUCAUAAUUAUAAUUAUUUUGUCACAACAAUUGUACCUUAAGAGUUAUAUCACCUCAAUCGUAAAUAGUACCUUAAUGCAUUAGGUUAUUUCAGCCACGCCCGGACAUUUUCUGUCGUGCCCUCAAAAUCGUCCCCAAAAUGGUGUUCUGUGUAUAUUGGUUUCAAAUAAACUCUCAGUUAUGGGUUGCUUCCAGGCUGAAGGGCCCAUGUAUGGCUGAGCCUAGUAGUUCUCUAAACUGUUGGGCUCCAGUGGAUCACACAGUCCAACAAAGAACAGUGGGUCCAAUUUUUUAUUUUAUUAAAAGAGAGAGCAUAACUAAAACUUAAAGCACUUCAUAAAAUUCCUGACCACACUUCACUGUAGCAUUAGAAAAUUGAGUAAUGGUAGCGAGGUUCCCAAUGACGUGGAUGGAGUAGAUUUUUCUUUCAGAUUCAUGGGUUUAGAAUUUUAGAUUAUAUCAUAACAUACUUGAUGUAAUUUUUCAUUAGAAUAAAUUUCUGAUUUGUAAUAUUUAUAUCUCAGUGUUAAAAGAAAAGAGAGAGAGAGCCCGUAGCUUCACUCUUCUUCGAAAUUAUCUUUCAAGUUUCAAGAACUCAGUAAAGUCAAAAAAUCCACAAGUGGAAGAAUAAGAAAUAAAUUAAUGGGAUCAGAAAUCUUCCCGCAAAGUUAUACUUUCCAUAGCUUUAACAUAUAAAAGAAUAAGAUGACUCACAUUUUCUUCACCCACCGAUUAGCCAAUCUGUUGAUGAAACUCAUAAAGCGCACACAUUGAAGAAUGAAGACAAAAGAAGUUAUGCCUUUCCUUACUCUUCGCCGCAUGAAAAAUGGAAAAGUAGCCGAUCAAUUCAAGAAUAUAUACCAAAACAUUCCAUCGGUCUUACUUGCAAUGACUAUUCUGCCAUUGCACCAAAAAUGCUCACCGCCGCCUGCCCAAAUUUUGUUUUGAAACAAAGAAAAUGCAGUUCCAAAACACAAAUUGUAUCAUUUAUCGCAACGACUUCAACUCUGCGUGGUAGUUGAUAUCUAGCAACUUCAACCUUGGCUUGCCAGAAGAAGAAGGGUAUUUCAGUAAUUAGAGAAACGUGGACAAAACUAGAGGGUGGAUUGUUUAGGAAACAGGAGGAAUCCACUUAGGAAACUUUUAGAGAGAACGACAAAGCAAGCUUUGAACAAUAUAUAUAUACACAAAAGGUGGUACUAUUUAAAGAGAGGGAGAGAGAGAGAGGGCUGAUGAUAAUCACAUUUCAGUAUUGAGCUGUUGUAAUACUCUUCUAAACCAUGGAUAUUACGCCAAAGCUUAUGCUUUUCAUUUGUAUGAUAAAAAUUUUAUUAUAUUUUUAAUAAUUUUAUUAAAAUUUAUAUUUACUACAUAUUAUUAAUUUUUGUUUCAUAAUUAUAAUUAUUUUGUCACAACAAUUGUACCUUAAGAGUUAUAUCACCUCAAUCGUAAAUAGUACCUUAAUGCAUUAGGUUAUUUCAGCCACGCCCGGACAUUUUCUGUCGUGCCCUCAAAAUCGUCCCCAAAAUGGUGUUCUGUGUAUAUUGGUUUCAAAUAAACUCUCAGUUAUGGGUUGCUUCCAGGCUGAAGGGCCCAUGUAUGGCUGAGCCUAGUAGUUCUCUAAACUGUUGGGCUCCAGUGGAUCACACAGUCCAACAAAGAACAGUGGGUCCAAUUUUUUAUUUUAUUAAAAGAGAGAGCAUAACUAAAACUUAAAGCACUUCAUAAAAUUCCUGACCACACUUCACUGUAGCAUUAGAAAAUUGAGUAAUGGUAGCGAGGUUCCCAAUGACGUGGAUGGAGUAGAUUUUUCUUUCAGAUUCAUGGGUUUAGAAUUUUAGAUUAUAUCAUAACAUACUUGAUGUAAUUUUUCAUUAGAAUAAAUUUCUGAUUUGUAAUAUUUAUAUCUCAGUGUUAAAAGAAAAGAGAGAGAGAGCCCGUAGCUUCACUCUUCUUCGAAAUUAUCUUUCAAGUUUCAAGAACUCAGUAAAGUCAAAAAAUCCACAAGUGGAAGAAUAAGAAAUAAAUUAAUGGGAUCAGAAAUCUUCCCGCAAAGUUAUACUUUCCAUAGCUUUAACAUAUAAAAGAAUAAGAUGACUCACAUUUUCUUCACCCACCGAUUAGCCAAUCUGUUGAUGAAACUCAUAAAGCGCACACAUUGAAGAAUGAAGACAAAAGAAGUUAUGCCUUUCCUUACUCUUCGCCGCAUGAAAAAUGGAAAAGUAGCCGAUCAAUUCAAGAAUAUAUACCAAAACAUUCCAUCGGUCUUACUUGCAAUGACUAUUCUGCCAUUGCACCAAAAAUGCUCACCGCCGCCUGCCCAAAUUUUGUUUUGAAACAAAGAAAAUGCAGUUCCAAAACACAAAUUGUAUCAUUUAUCGCAACGACUUCAACUCUGCGUGGUAGUUGAUAUCUAGCAACUUCAACCUUGGCUUGCCAGAAGAAGAAGGGUAUUUCAGUAAUUAGAGAAACGUGGACAAAACUAGAGGGUGGAUUGUUUAGGAAACAGGAGGAAUCCACUUAGGAAACUUUUAGAGAGAACGACAAAGCAAGCUUUGAACAAUAUAUAUAUACACAAAAGGUGGUACUAUUUAAAGAGAGGGAGAGAGAGAGAGGGCUGAUGAUAAUCACAUUUCAGUAUUGAGCUGUUGUAAUACUCUUCUAAACCAUGGAUAUUACGCCAAAGCUUAUGCAAUACAGAUACCAAUUUAGUGUAGCUGUAGUUGUUUCAUUAAUUCUUGGGUUAUUGUCAUAUGGUGCCCCCCGUAUGCUCACCAUUCUGGCAUAUUUUUGGCCUCUUAUCGCAUCAACCACAGUGUUCUUGCUGUUAAUAAUCGCCUUUGGUGGCCUUUCUCAGCUGGCAAACGAAGCUCAUGGUGAACGGGCUGGUGAAGGACUCCUAGAUUAUGUGGCAGGAGCAGGGCGAUCGGAGCAUUAAUGGGCCACGCUAACAGUAACAAGUAUCAAUAAAUUAAUAAAUGGGGUUGAUCCAUCUCUCAAUCUCAAUCUCAGAAACAUACAUGUAUAUACAUAUAGGCUCACGAAAUUAAAUAUGUUUGAUGCUCUUUAACUAUUGGCCUCCAUCUGUAUACAUCUUUACUUCACUUGCCUUCUUAUAACAUAUUGUCAAAACACUAGACUAUUCGUCAAUACCAAUAUGUUAUCUUGUUUUCAUAGUUUUAUCGACAGUUUAUUGAUCAUAUCAAACAUGAGACCAACGUAAGAUGAAAUUUUCGACAUCAAUUGAAACUUCAUAUAAGUUCCACUGAAAUCUGCAAAUAUAUCUUCUGUGAACGGAUAGCGAAAUUAAAAGUCCCUUAUUAUUCAUAAUGACACCUCAUUAAUCAAGAUAAACGCUAUCGAGAUGUUUUCAGUUUGAUUUGUGAUUAAGAUGACUGUGAUAGCUUUUUGGAAAUACAUGGUUGUGAUGACUUUUAUAUCAUGCGCAGCUAUCAAAGUUCCUGAUUGAUCUGCAUUAAGCCGUCGAGAGCGAAACAUCUUCCUUGCUGAUCUUUCCCAUUUACUGAGCCAUGUAAAUUAAAGAUUCUGCGGCACUGUAAUCAAGUUGGAGGGGAAGUUUUGCUAUAAUUUAGGAGUUUGUAUGAAUGUCAAAUCGAUAUAUACCAAGAAGUGGCAUGAGUAUGAAUAUGAGAGAAUUCAACAUUUUGUAACAUGAUGUUUCAAUUAUUUAUUAGGCGGGCUAAUAUCAAGUCAAUAUAAACCCGAUACAUACGACCACGAAAUCAGGAUAUUCAGGUUUUUUUCUCACUCAAAACUUUUCUUUUCCUUUGAAAUUCAAGAGUGGGCCACCCCAGAGAAAACCCAACAAUUUUGGACCUUAGGCAGUUGAAUGGACAAGCUGGCCCAACCCGUAAACGAAAUGGGUUUGAGUGCAGCUCCUAACAUCCUUUUAAAACUCCCACAAAACCACACCAUUUUAUAUUUUUAGCUAUUUCUUUGAUGAAAAUUAUGUCAAAGCAUUCUAAUAGAGUGUUAAUUGAAUUUUACUACCAUCUAGAAUAAAUUAAUUAAUUUAUAAAUGUUGCGAGAUAUAUUUAUUCCUCACUUGAUAAAAAUAUUAUGUGUUUCACACUAAUAACUUUAGGAAGUGAAUUACAAACGUAGAUACAUAAUUUGUAGUGUGCGCGUCUCACACCUCUUCAAAUAUAUUAUAAGUUGUGCAUUACACUAUUCAAUUUAUAAGAUGUCAUGUUCACAACACCUUAAAAUUGGAAAAGUGUGUUGCUAAAUGCACGACCAUUUCAUAUGCUUCAUUAAGUAUAAGUAGUAAUCAUCAUUUGUAAUCACAUUCAGCUCAGAGAAUGAGAAAUAAGAUAAAGAGCACUUAAGAUACUUCACAAUCAUAUCACAAUAGUAAACAUACUAUUCCAGAAGUAAUUUGCUUCUUCACCAAUUCAAGCUUAUUAUGAAUCCAUAAAAAAAUAUUUAUAUCAUAUAUUAGGAUUUAAUCAUUUAAAGACAGCUAGGACCUUAGGAUUCAUGAUUUGUUCUCCCGACAAUAAAAUUAUGAUUAAAAAAAUAAAGUUUUAUAAAUAUAUUAAAGGGGUGUGAAAAGUAUUACUCAAUGGGUAAUAACAUCUAACUGCAUUUAAUUCCUUCAACCCUCAAAAGCCACCAUUAAGAUACAACAUCAUACGAAGUAUAGUACACAAUAUACAGACAAUAAUAUAUAAAUUUAUUUGAAACUAACCUCAAAGAAUUCUCUCUAGCUGUUAGGCAUUGAUUAUUCAAUAAACCCCGGUAUAUCAAUUGAUACUUACUCUUGUGUAACUCGAAGAUCAUUAGAAUGAAUAAAUGAGGAAAAUUACCAUUUGUAUAUCAAGCUUUUUAAUCUUUGUAUUGUAACUAUUUAAUCGCUAGCCUGUAAUCCAACUUAGCAGAAGCAUUGAAUUCCAUGCAUUAGAAUUAUUAAAAAAAAUUAUUAGUUUUUUUGAUAUACUGAUAUGUUACAAUAAGAACUUUACUAAUAUUUUACAACCAGACAUCAAUCGGGACUCUCCUUUAUAAUUUUAAGAUGACUACUAAUAUUUUACAACCAGACAUCAAUCAGAACUCUCCUUUAUAAUUCUAAGAUGACACAGCCCGAACAACAAUUCUCACUUUAAUAUGGGAGGAAAAUCUAUUAUACUCCUAAAAUGGGGAGUCAAAUAAACCUCUAUCAAAAGGGAGUUGAGUCCCAACAAUGAUUGGGACUUGAACUCAUACGCCCAAGAAUUAUAUCAAUCUAUUGGACGCAUGAGUUACCAAUGAGUUACAAAUCUAUGAUUUAAAGCCGACUUACUCAAGAAUUUUAUUUAUUUGUUUAAAACAUUUAAAGUAUAACAACAGUUAACUACGUAUAUUAUGUAAUUGAUGUGAUUGAUGGCUUAUUAACCUGUGAAAAAUUCAAGUUAUAUGAUUUAUAUGGAAUUUGUUUAAAAAGUCAGGGAACCGGAAAUAAUUAUCCCCAUAAACAAAGAAACUUACGAGUUGAAGUAGAAGCACAGCAAGACUGCAAGAGCGAGGGUUUAAGCCCUUCCAUCUCUUUCACUGGUAAGUAGUUUUUUCCUUUAUCUGCUGGUUAUUUCAUAUAAUCUGGAUCUUGCAAACCUUCAUCUUAUUAAAGCUUAAGCCCUUUCUUUGUUCUUUUUAUUUUUAUUUUUUCUCUCUUUGUUUUUAUUUUACUGUAAUUUUCAACACAAAACUCAAUUAAAUUUGAUCCCUAGUUGCAUAUAUAACUCUUAGCUCUAAUGGAUAUGCAUAAAGUUAAUUAUUUGAUAGAACAAAUAAACCCUUUUCAAUGUAUUCUUCUUAAUUUAAUUUAAUUUAAUUUUUGGUUUUCAAGGGUUUAUAGUGCAUGCUAGUGGGGGACUUCGAUAUUUGAGUUUCUUUGGUUGUAAAGAGGUGUACAUAUAGUGUUAUUUAAUGGCAUUGCUAACUUCAAAAAAUAUAUGGAUGAGGAGGCAACAAUGUCCAUGUGGCGAUUGGAAAUGUUAUGUUUCUCAUGAAGGAGAUUCUGAAGAGACAUCAGUAGCAUCUCAAUUGGCUAAAAAUGAUGAAAAUUCAUUGAAUGAAUCUAUGGUUGCGCCCUACGUAGGAAUGGUGUUUAAGAGUGAUGAUGAUGCAUUUGAGUAUUAUGGUAAUUUUGCUAGAAAAAGUGGAUUCUCUGUUAGGAAAGAAAGGUCAAGAUUGAGCCCCCAAUUGGGUGUAUAUAAACGUGAUUUUGUUUGUUAUCGUUCGGGGUUUGCUCCUAUGAGGAAGAAGCCUGGUGGUGAACACCAUAGGGAUAGGAAGUCCGUGCGGUGUGGAUGUGAUGCAAAGAUGUACUUGUCGAAGGAAGUAGUUGAAGGAGUUUCUCAAUGGUUUGUUGUGCAAUUUAGUAAUGUUCAUAAUCAUGAACUUUUGGAAAGCGACCAAGUGAGAUUCUUGCCUGCUUAUAGGAAGAUUCAGGAGGCCGAUCAAGAGAGAAUUCUAUUACUUUCCAAAGCUGGGUUUCCAAUACAUCGUAUAGUAAAGGUGUUGGAGUUGGAGAAAGGGAUUCAAGGUGGACAGUUGCCUUUCCUGGAAAGGGAUGUUAGGAACUUUGUUCAAAACCGUAGAAGAGCUGUUCAAGAAAAUGAUGCUUUACUUACUGAGAAAAGAGAGACUGACACAAUGGAACUACUAGACAUCUGCAAGGCUACAAACGAGACUGAUGAAUACUUUGUUUAUGAUUUUACAGUCGAUGAGAACAAUAAAGUUGAGAACAUUGCCUGGUCUUUUCCUGGCUCUGUUCAUGCAUACGCCAUGUUAGGUGAUGUGGUUUAUUUUGACACAACUUAUAGGUCUAUAACUUAUGGUCUGAUUUUUGGAGCUUGGCUUGGGAUUGACAGCAACGGAAGAACAAUAUUGUUUGGGGUAGCUCUGUUGCAGGAUGAAACACUCCGUUCCUUUGCUUGGGCCUUGCAGGUUUACUGCCAAAGUCUUUUAAACUAAAUGUUUCUUCAAAUAUCUUUCAUUUAGCAAUUUUAUAUCUUCGCUUUUUGUUGCAGACCUUUGUUCAUUUUAUGAAAGGAAGAUGUCCGAAGACAAUUCUAACUGAUCUUGAUCCAGGGCUUGGAGAUGCUAUAAGAAGUGCAUUACCGAACACUAGACAUGUAAUAUCUGUAUGUAAUAUUCUCCCCAAGUUAUCUGGCUGGUUCUCGCUCUUGCUGGGAUCUCAGUUUUCAGAAUUCAAAUCUGAGUUUGAUGCAUUAUGCCAUGUAGAGAGUACAGAAGAUUUUGAACUCCAAUGGAGUCAAAUGGUUUCCAUGUUUGGACUUGGUUCAGAUAGGCACAUUGCUUUACUUUAUUCUAUCCGGACAUCUUGGGCACUUUCCUACAUAAGAGGCUAUUUUCUUGCUCGGAUGGCAACACCAGCUUAUUUAAAGUCUGUAGAUGCAUUCUUGAAAAGAAUUUUUGCUGCUCAAACAUGUUUACGUAGCUUUUUUGAGCAGGUAUAUCAUUUUCUUUAUUUUUUUGGGCAAUGCUUGAAUUGAUUUUCAUGUGUAGAUUGUUUAUAGUUUUUCUUGGAAUUCUUGCAGGUUGGUAUCUUUUCCAAUCUACAAAACCAGCCACGUCAAGAGAUGCAGUACAUGCAUAUGAAAACAUGCAUCCCCAUUGAAGAGCAAGCUCGUAGGACUCUUACACCUUUUGCCUUCAAUGCUUUUCAACGUGAACUGGUUCUAGCUAUGCAGUAUAGUGCAUCUGAAUUGGCUAAUGGAACGUAUCUUGUGCACCAUUUCAAGAAGAUGGAUGGAGAACGUCGUGUUAUAUGGAUACCAGAUGAUGAACAGCUUCAUUGUUCUUGUAAGGAAUUUGAGUCUUCAGGGAUACCCUGCAGACAUGCUUUUCGUGUUUUCAUUACAAAGAACUACUUCCAACUUCCCGAGAAAUACUUUCCUAGUAGAUGGCUGCGUGAAAGCUCUUUAGCCUUUUUUUAUGAUCAUGAUGCUCAGCAGAACGAAGAAUGGAUUCAAGAAUUUCAUUCCCUUACUGAAAGACUAUUUGCAGAAUCAUCAAUUACAAAAGAGAGGUCUGAUUAUAUUCGUAAAGAAUUAACAAAAGAGCUUACAAGACUUCUUAAUGAGGUUAGAGAUAUGCCAGAGAGUGAUGGAAUUGCUAUGGAUUUUACUCUUUCACCAACUGAUUGAUUUUACAGCAAUGGAAAGUGUGGAUGGUUGCAAAUAGAUAAGUGAUCACCCAAUGGGUGAAAAAACUUAGAUGGUUAAAUGAAAAUGUUAUCUGGCGAUGCCAGCAGGGCUAGAAUGAGUGUGCAUUCUCAUAGUUUGUUUCAAGCAGACACAUGUAUAUAUUGGGAGGAGCUACAUAGAAGUAAGUAGUAGACUGUAUUAUCGUCCUGCUGCCAACCGGCUAUUCUGGUUUCUAUCAAGAAAGGGUAGUAGAGGCUGCAAAGGUUGUUGCAUUGGGAUAGGUCUCUAUUAAGGUGGUGCACUCUGUAAAUUUCUAAUGUGUGUUUCUAGAUAUGUUUUUGGAUUAAUGAAGAGUAGUUAAUUUAAUUCAUUAUGCUCUUGCGCUUUUGAUUUUACCAGCUUUUAGUAUGUGGUUGGAUAAUGUUUUAAAGUAUAAUGAUAUUUCAUGCAUACUUCAUUAUGCUUCCAUUCUGUUCAUGUGGAGAACCUAAAUGUAGUGGUCCAGGAGUUGAUUGUACAAAAGCUACUUGCUUUGAUUCAAAGGGGAAGCAGAUGAAAGUUGAAUAAAGGAAUGUCCAGCAAGUAAUCAUGUAUUACUUUCUUUUUCAUAAUUUGUUUCAAGAAUUAUCUGUCAAAUAUUAUACAUCCUGCACAUUGUGGAGUGGCUCCAUGAUCUCUGUGGAUGUAUAUUACUUUAAGGAUGCUGCACUGUAUUCUGGAUGUGGAAUUAAUGGUAAGAUAGUAUGGGCACAACUCACUUUAGUUAGUAUAGUAAUUACAUGGAGGUACUGCUCUCUGCCUUUGUAGAGUGUUGAAGUCAGGCAGCUAUAGAUAGUCUACUGUUUCUAAAGGUCAAGGCUAACAGCAAGUACAACUUUAUUCUUUUAAAAACUUGGGAAAAAAUUUCUGAUGGAUAUGCUACACAACCUUUUGUAAAUUUAUACGCAAGUAUUUUUUCACUUGAGCUUUUAUGAUGCAGGCUUUCACCAUGUUUACAGGUUUUUUUUCCAAAUGAACUUGAGGAUCAAAUUGAUAGAGGAGCAGCUUGGCAUUUUGACUUGGUAAUAGUCGUUGCCAUUUUUAUGAAUAAUUUAACUCCAUACAAGUUUCAGUUUUACCAACUUGAGCCAUUUCAUUUGGUACUGAAUUAUGAAUCUGCAGGAACAAAAAAUUGAAUGGCAAUAAGGCAUGACAUACGGACCAAAAUGAAAUUUUCACUGACAUAUUUCAGCGUUACCGAGUGAUUAGCUUUUACCCUAAUCUGAAAAAAGAAAAAGAGAAGGUGAUUAGCUUUCACCCACCUGAAUGAUUUUCAAAUUUCAUAGUCCUAAAGUUUUGGGCAAAAUUGUACUGAUAUUUGUACUAUCAGCAUUACAUUACUUUUUAAGAUUGAACACUUUUCUUUUUCAAGUGUUGCAUAGUUGAAUAAUUUAAUUGUCACCAUUUGCAGACAGGAUGGAACUUGUUUCUCCAAGUUGGCGGUUAUGAAGCCUUUCUACAUUUCUCCCCUCCAUAACUCCCUGCAACUUUGCAGGUAUGCAUUUGGGACUUUGCUAGCUUACAGAAUCUGUAAGUUACAGACUGCAGCAUCAGCCGUUGGAUGUGGUUGAAGGUGGAGUGAGAAAUUAAACAAUAGAAAUCGGAUGGUGGGAGAUGUUAGUUACAGAGUCCGCACCAUAGACAGGUCCAUGCAUUUGAUAUGAUAUGGAUUCAAUCGCAAUACUCUUCAUUUUUCAUUCAGAAGAGGGUCUCCCUAAUAAAAUGUCCAUGACCAAUGUCCCUCAUAUUUGUAAAUUAAAUUUUGUCAAAAGAGAUCAAUAAAAAAAGCUGCAAAGUUCUAGCCACAUAAGUGUAAGAACCUCAUCGACUGGUCGGUUUUCAUUCUGUACAAAGUGGUUCAUGACAAAUGGCAAUACUUACCUGCUGUUAAAUAUAUAAUGUUGAUUGUCGUUUUAGCUUUGCCAAAAACUGUCAUUCUCAAAAUUUGCAUUAUGCUUCUAUAAUUGAUUUUUUUUGGUGUCCGUGACCAUGAUCAUAUUUUGUGUAUCUCGAACAAGCUUUUGUUAAUAUCUCUGUCCCAGGCUCGAAACUAAAGAAACCUGGGAUGGGCCCACAUUUUGCUAAACCGUCGGGCGGCUACAAUAAAAUGAGUAAUGAUAUAACCACAAACUCUUGUACAAACUUAUCAUGUACAAACUGAUGUGCCAUGAUAAAAUUGGUUGAAUUAAAUAUCUCUUGACCCACAUGAUUUAUUUUCAUUAUUUGUAUUUUCAUUCAACCAAUAAAUUAAUGCCACAUCAGUUUGUACAAAAUAAGUUUGUAAAAGAAUGUGUGGCUGUAUCAUCACUCCAAUAAAAUUGCAUUAUGAACAAAAGCUUGUGGUGUUCCGUGUUCAUGAGAGGGCCAUAGGGGCGUGUUUGGCUUCAAGGAAAUGGAAGCAUAUGGAAAGUCGGCCAGGGUCAUUUGGUAUAAUUAUAUUUUUUUGGUCCAUGGAUUAGAGGUGUAUUAAAGGUAUGUUGGUUUAACGAAAGGGGUGUGUUAAAAGCUGGUUUAAGAGGUUUUAAUACCUGAUUAUGAUAUUCGCAAAUCAUGGAAAUUUGCAUAGGCUUUAGAAUCUGGUUCUCCUUUAUAAUUUCCAAUGGGUGCAUAUCUUUGUGGGUCUUACAAAAUCAUUCAUUUGAAAAAGAUUUAUGACUUCAUAUAAAGAUUUGUUCUCAUUUUUGCCACUGUCAAACGAACUUUUUCUUUUCUAAUUCAUUCGGAAUCUAUCAAAUUUUUUUUUUCUUCUUUCAUGUAUUAUACGGUGGUUUCCUCUCAAGUUUGAGGUUUAGAUCUGGAGGAUUCCAUGCUAUAAUCUACCGAUCUUAAUAGAAAAUUCAUCACAACAUCUGUUGGAAGAAUCAAAUUAAGAAUGACAUGAAAGAUAUGUCCAAUUAAGCUCAAAUCAUGUAUGUGCACAACAAUAUUUGUUAGUGGGGAUAUUCUUUGCACUGGUAUAUUUCUUUGAAAAUGUAUCUUUAUUACACUAGUUUUCAUCCUGACCUUCUGUGUGAAAAUACAAUGAUUUGACCAAUUAGUUAUUAUAAUUGAAUCGUAGUAAACAGAUCUUCACUUUUUUUUUUUACUUGUAAAGCCGUUCUUUCUAGUAUUUUCCAUAAAAUUCAAGCCGCGAAUCAUCCAAAAGUAACAGUAGGUAUAAUUUUAUUCUCACUGCAAUUCAAGGAAAUCAAGUAUCGGGAGAAUGCUACCUUACAGAUACGGUAAUCUAGCUAACAUAAUUGAAAUAAAAGAACAGACAAUUAUUAAAGAAGUGCUAAUUAAACUAGCUAGAAAUAUAGCAUGAAAGAAAUGUGUACACGGCAUCCACAUUAAACUUUCCAAAAAGAUGACAUAGAAGAAGGGAUCAAAACUCUACAAACAAACAACAGCAGAAAGGACUAAUUAUAAGAUAAAAACAUGAAGGCGUAACUACUAAUUAGUCAUCUUAAACAAGGAAAGAAAGCAGAUUGGCAAUUGUUGAUUUUAGAUUAAUGAAAAUUAUACUGCAAAAAGCUGUUGUUGAGCUUCAAUCCUGAUUUCUUCCUUCAUUUUCCUUAUAAACUCUUCAAUUUUCUUGUUUAACUCAUCCGUAGUUGGUUCAUAUACUGCUUGUGCUUUUGCCUCUUCUUCUGGUACCACAGGUUCUUCAUCUUCUGGCAUCGAAACUUGAGUGCCUUCUGUGACUUGGACUUGUUCUUUUUGUUUCUCUUGUAUUACUUCUUCUGCAAACAAUUCGCUUUCUUCUUGUUCUUGUUCAGCUACAAGUGCACCAUUUGCCGCGGGAGGAAGUUCGUUAUUAACAUCAACGGAUGCUUCCACCUCUCGCAAUAAAUCGGAAGCCGAAAGACGCUGAGAAUCGUCACCAUCAUCACCAGCGACGUAAGCCGACGCUGGUGUCGAAGUGCUGCAAGAGACCAAGCUGGUUUUCGCAAGAAGAGCAAGGAUUCCAUUGCAAAUGAGGAACACGUACUUCCUCUCGAGAGUGUGGGUGAAGAAUGAGAAAAGGAACGUGGAGAAACAGACAUUGGAGGAUUGAGGAAAGCCUGCGGAGUAGCAAAGAAUCAGAGAAAAUAUGGAGACUGAGACAACAAGUUGCACACUCCUUUUAUGCUGCGUUUACUUUUUGGAUUGGAGUGGGAAUCCUGAGGAGUGGGAAUCCUUGGAUUAGGAGUGUGGAGUGGGAGUGAGAGUAGGGUGUUUACUUAGACUAAAUGAAAGUAUGGAUUGUCAAUUAGAAUCCCAAUUAUUUAUUUACUUUGUCUUGGAUUGGGAGUAAAUUGUUUUAAAUUACAAUUUUAUCCUUAUGUACAGAAUUAUAAUUUGUAAUUAAAAAAUUAAUAAAAAAUAUAUUUGGAAAAUAAAAUAAAUAUUUUAUUAUAUUUAUAAAUUAAUAAUAAUUACUAAUAUUCUUAAUUAUGUAAAUCAUAAUUUUUUAUUAAUUUUAAUUUAAAUUAUGUGAAUAAAAAUUAUUAAUAAUAGCAACACAAAUGAAAUAUUAUUAUUGAUAAUAUAGUACAAAAUUAAUAUUUUUUGAAUAAAAUAUUUAUUAUUAUUAAAUAAAUAAAUAAUUAAUAUUUAUUAAAAUUAAUGUUUAAUAUUAUUAAUUUAAAUAUAACAUUUAUUUAUUUUUAUUUUAUUAAAUUUAAUAAAAUAAAUAUGAUAUAAUUAUUAUUUUUAAUAAAUACUGCUGAAGAAUCCACACUCCACACUCCCACUCCAGAAAGUAAACACUACCUUAAGGAAGCGGCUCUUGUUCAACUUCAGGCUGUGCUCGUCAAAAGCUUGAAGCUCCAACUCCUUGAAUUCAUCCAUAUCUCGGUCUUGGGACUUUUGGUUAUCUUGUUUAAUUUGUGUGCGAGAGUGAAAAAAGGGUAACUUCUCUUACAAGUGCUUUCAACUGGGUCGGUGUCUUUGCCUUCGGUGUUUCGGGUGCAAAUGACACGGAGGCACCUGAAAUGAGAGCCUACUACAGUUUCAUGGGCUAUACAUGAAAUUACAGAUAUGGCCUUACUGAUUUUCUUUCCACCAUGACGUGUGGAACUCGGACAAGAAUUGUGGCCAGAAAGAAAAUCAAGGGAUUUACUUUCCUGUUGUCAAUAUGAAAAACCAUUCUACAGCAAAUUUAACCCUGCGCUCAAUCAAUCCCCAAUCAAUCCCACAGUAAACUGAGCCUACAAACCCAAAUUGACCCUUGGAAUUAAUUAUUUGUGGGCUCCACUCCUUUAAUGAGAGAUAUGAAUUGAGCUUUGUUUUGUGCAUCGUGUGUUGCACGAUUUUGUUCCUUCUGUUGCAAGCUUCGGCCCAAUAUUAUAUAUAAUACAUUCCCGUUAAUUAAAAGCUAUACGAUCGAUACGUAUAGAGAAUUCUUUAGAUGUAUGAAAUGUUAAAAAGCGGCAAAAACAAGCAACUUUGAACUUGUUUUUACUACCAAAUUUCUUUGCGCCCCCUCAAACAGGGGCUCUUGUCUGCCGUACACGCAGUACCCUGCAAUACAAGCAAAAUUCUUCCGGUUCAAUUUUCAAGCAAACCAAGCUAAUCCAGGUUAGCUUUCUUCUUUGUCAAGAAACUGCUGAUGUACGUAAUGUCAUUAAAUUAAACCACACUAGUAGGAUCAAGAAAGAAACAAAACCAUCCCAAUUAAUUGUUGAAUUUAAUUUAUUCGGUAAAUUUUUGCUUGCCAUAGCUGGCUAGGACUAUACAAUUAAUAAACUUCUUGAAAAACCGGGAAUAAUUUUACAUGUGCACUCCAUUGACUAAUGUCCAUGUCAUUUUCAUGCUAGCACACUAUGGUAUUAUUGACGAAAAAAAUAUUUAAAUAUAUUAGUAGUAUACAAAAUUUCGACACGAAAAGACAUAAUAAUAAUGUUGAUUCAAAAAUAAUAAUAAAUGAAAACGAAAUGGUAUUAAUCUUUUGACGAAAUUAUAAUUUAAUAGAUAUUCUGCAUGCUUACUUCUGAUGUUUCUAGCUAGUACAUCAAUAACCAUUCGAAUACUAAACUUCAAUUCAGAUCACACUUUUUCGCCAAUCGAUCACUGAAUUUGAAUCUAUAAUUCUUUCAAGUGAAUAAACAAGGAGCACUACAAAUUGCUUGUGUAAAAGCAAAGCAUUAUUAUUAAUUAUUAUUUUCAAUGAACUUUGACUAGAGCAUGCUGCGAGGCAUUAAUUUCUUAGUUAACAUUUACACACCACUAAUUAAUAUUUAUCAUAUGUAUCGCUGGCAAAAGAGAAAUAAUAUUAUUACAUAUUUUUAAAAAUUUUGUCUGAAGUUUCAUGUCAAAGGAUAUGAUAUGUGAUAUGUUAUUCAUUAAGUAAUUGAUAAUUUUUCUUUUAGGUGAAUUAAUUAAUUACAUAGUUUUACUCUCUACUUUAUGAACAUUACGAAAUUUUGAGAUAAAAUUUUAAGAUGUCUACUAAAACAUGAUCUUCUUCACAAAAAUGCUUUUAACUUAAUUAAUCUAAAUUCAUUUAAAUCAUAUGAUGCCUUGAAACCAGAAAUCAGGGCUAAAACUUAUAACAUAAGAAGGAGCGUGUAUAUAUAUAGACAUACACUUGCAUACAGCCAUACACACAUAUUACAGAAAAAGUAAUAUAAGUACAACCAGUUUUUUUUUUUUUUUUUUUUCCCCCCUUUUUUUUUCCCUCCCGUCAGGUAAGUCACUUUUUUAUUUAAGAGAAAGACCAUGUUACAUAAACAAGAAUAACAAAACCAUAUGCGCCUUAUGAUAAAGUAUAAAAACAUGCGUGAUUAAUAUAAUUAAGCGACAAUAGUACUGUAAGGAUAUCUCAAAUCAAAACCUAGAGCUGGUUAUAAGUCAAUAUUGAUCUGGCCAUAAAAAUGCUCCCAUUGCGAAUGCUCUCUUUUCAUCAGGAGUCCCCUGGAAACAUAGGCCAUAUUCUCUGAGAAGCAUGUCAAGCUUCCAGUCCUCCAUCUUCUCAUAAUCAGCCUUCGAGUAUCGAGGAUAAUGAAGCGGCAGUUGAAACCCAGAAGCACAAGCUUCAACACUUUGUGAUAAUCCAUCGCUGACCUUUGAAUCUGAUGAGACUCCAUUUACUUGAACUUGGUGAUGAUGAUCGUUUUGGUAUCCCACAACACCGUUACACUCUAUUUUGUUGUCGUUUUGAUGCCCUAGUACAUGACAUGCUGUAUGAAGAACCCACCUCAGAGCCAUUCUCUCUCUCUUUUUGUUUACUCUCUUUCUGAAGCUUAAUUAAAGCUUUUGUGCAUUUAUAUAGACCCAUGAUAGUUAACGACAAAACUGCGUGAUUAGUGGUUUCACGAAUUAAGCAAAAAUGAAAAAGAAAAAAUGAUUGGCUUGCAAAAUUAAUUAUAUUAAUUAUGAUGAAAUAAUGCUUGCUUGUAUUAAUGGCCAUCUUGAAAUGGGUAUAUGGAAUGCGGAGAUAGGCCACUUAAAUUUUGGAGUGGUUAUUUGUCCACUUCCGUGUACGUGAAUAUGACAUUCUCUCUCGAUCAUUUCUCAUAAUAAUAAAAUACAUACAUACAUAAUUGAGUUGCGUGUUAGAGAAAGCAUUGGGAGUGGGCAUGGCCUCUUUCCCUUUCCCUUUCCCCUUCCCCUUAAUUAAUUUGCCUCUUCGACGUCAUAUUGGUUCAAUAAUCAAUAAUGUUGAGUGGCUUUCUACAUAAGAUUAAUUGAUUCUGAUUCUUGCAGAAUUGUACUCCUCAAUAUGGCUAAAAAGCAAAAUGUUAAAUGGGAACGGCCUUAAAAGCUGAUCAAGUGAAGAAAAAUUGAAUUAUUGAUUGGCCUUAUGUAUUUUUCAGGAUAAGAUAACUACCCAGGGGCAUGCAUAAUAAAUGCACGUAUUUCAUUAAAAUUAAUAAUGGGUUUGUUUCAACCACCCUUGAGGAUAAUGAUAAGGAGUGCUUUGGGAAUUUGAUUAAAUUGAGAUUUUUUUUGUUUUUUUAUUACAUCUGUGCUCUUAAAUUAAAUUAUGUGGCUGUCAUUGAUCAAACCAGGUACCCUGCUCUUGAAUCUUCUUGACAUAUAUAAUUAUUAUCAAAACUUGGAAAAUUAAAUGUACGUGCGGUCAAUUUUUGUUGGAUUGCUGUCGUUUUUUUGCCCAAGAUGUCAAACCCCUAAUUAAGAUGGCAACAAUUUGACCUCUUAAUCAGUAAUGGUGCGUUCACUAAUUGGAAUGGGUUGAAAUCGGAAUGACUUGAAAUCGAAAUGGGCUGAAAUGAGAAUCAUGAAUAGGAAUCAGAAUAACUUGUUUAUUUGAGCAGUAAGAUUUGGAAUCGGAAUUAGAUUCACUUCCAUUGAUUUGUUUACUUUGUCUUGAAAUUAGAAUAAAAUAUCAUAAUUUAUUAAAAUACCCUUUUGUUAAGUAUUGCUCUUGAUAUUGUGCUUGUUAUUAUUUAAUAAUAAUAAUAAUAACAACAACAACAAUAACAAUAACAACAACAAUAAUAAUAAUAUUUUAUAAAUAGACAAAUAAAUAAAUAAAUUGAAGUAAGAACAAUAAAGAUACAUAAAAUGCAUAUAUAAAUUCAGAACAAUUUUCAAUACAACAUAGGUUCCUACAACGAUGAUACAAAUAUAAAACAAAUAAAAAAGGAAAAAACACUUGGAAUAAUGGAGAAAGUCGCAUGUCAGAGACGAAUCUGAGAGAAACCGAUCAGCAACCAGCGACGAAUUAGACUGGUGAGUGACGCAAGAGAACCGGGUUGACGAAUCCAAGAGAAACCGAGCAGAAGUUGCUGGUCAGUGACGAGCUGAUGAUUCCGGCCAAUGAGCUAACAGGAAAGAAGAAAACAAGUGAUGAAUUCGGCCAGUGAGCUGAUGAAUCCAGAAAAUCAUGAUUACUUGGAAAGUAAAUGAUGUGUUUUUAUUGCAUUUUAGUUAUAUUUUGUAUAAACAUCUAUUUUAGUUUAUUUUUAAUCAAUUUUCUUUGAUUUAGAAUAAUUUGUGUGCUUAGAUCAUAUGCAUAAUUGUAGGUGACCGAAAGCUCAAAUUUCAAGAAAGCAAUGCUACUGCAAUAGGCCUGCAAAAAUAAGGAAAAAACUUGGUUACAGAAGAAUUGAAACAAAUUUGGAACAAUACAGUUGCUAUAGCCGUUGUUGUAGGAUCUGUUGCUGUAGCAGUCCUGGAGCAUUGACAAUGAAGAUAUGAAGAUUUCGCGCAAGAUACUUAAAUAAUUACGAUCUGAGGUUUCCUAAUCUGAAAGAUAUGUGCCCUAAACUUCCGUUUACCCUAAUUUUCAGCUAUAAAAGAAGCACACAAGCAAAUGAAAAAAGAAAGCUGUUAACCAAGGAGAAAAACCGAAAAAAAAGAGUAAAACAGAAUUAAAGAGCAGGAUUUAGGGCUGCAUCAGAGGAGAACACGCAGAGAUUAAUCGGGAAACCAAUCCCUCUUAUUCUUGUUUAUUCUUUAAUCAUGAGGAUGUAUUUGAUGGCUAAAACUCUGUUGUUUAUGUUUUUUUUUUUUACAAAUUAUUAACUAAAUUUAUUUGUGGUUGAGUAAUAAACAAUCUUGAUGGUUUAUUGACUGAAUAUAUGUGUUGCUGCAUAUUUGCUAUAGCAUUUUGUUUUGAUAGUAUUUAUUUUUAUUCAUUAUUUCGGCUGACCGCCCAUUUAAUGAUACAAGCUGGGAAAGAGCCACAAAAAAUCUAUCUUAGUGGAACAUAUCAUAGCAAUACUUGGUUUUAGAUUGGAUUUCCUGAGUUGAGUUUUACUUGAUUCCAAAUGGGUUAUGCUUAAUCUAAAAUUAGUGAUGAACUAGACAUGAAGAUUCAUUUUGUAGGGAAAUUAGAGCCUAAGCGUGUAAUGUUAUAUCUUAUGUUGGCAUAACGAUUGGUCACUGUUAGGUUGCAUAAAAGUAUAAGACAUCCAACAUGCGACAACUGAGGGUACAAUAGGAUUAUACCCAGUGCUGUAGCAGAUGUUGUAGCAACCAAGCCUAAAAUUAGAAGAAACGGUUACAACCAUUAGGUGAGUUGAAUCACUCAACUACUUCAUUUUCAUUGGUUUUAUCCUCGUGUUUGCUGUGAGAGUUUCCUUUAUUUUAUUUUAUUUAUUGCAUUUUUGUUAUUUUAUUAGUUUUAGUAGUUGUCUCAUUUUAAUUUGAAACAAUCUACACUGUUAAGAUUGUUGUAGCAAGUCUGAUAACAUCAAUCCCUGUGGAGACAGUCUUGAAUACUUAUCAUUAUAUUACUUGUUGUGUACACUUGCAUAUUGACGCCAAUAAUACAAGAAAAAGUUGCAACAGAGGGAGAUGAGAUGGAAACUUCUGGUUUGUGCAUGAGAGAGUGUGUGCUUGAAUCGUUUACUUUUUUUUUUAAUUUAUAUUUUUCAAUGGAAAUAAAGGAUAUUUUUGGAAAAUAAUAGGGGCGCUUUCAUCAUUGGGGGUAAUGGAGUUCUGAUUCCAACCUCCCUCCACUGGAAUCACAAUCCGGGUAAUCACUCCCCUUUUUGCGUGGGAACCACACGUAUGAUUCCCAUUCCUAAUUUCAACUUAACAAGUAAAUGAGUUUAUCAUUCUGAUUCCAUCAUUCUGAUUCCUAUUCCGGGAAUGUAAACACACCAGAAGAGUGAAGUGUAAACUAAUGGGCUCUCCGGCGGCCCAUUUUCCGCUUCCCCUCUGAUGUUUCAAAUCGGGCAAACUUCUUUUUACCCUCAAUCCCCCAUUAUUUGAUACCUGAAGUAUUAUGUAUUUUAAUUUAAUAAAUAAUUAUAAUUAUUUAGUUUUUGUUUUAAUAAUUUCUACCCUACUAUUUUUGUAAAUUCACCUCACUUUUAGAAAAAAUAAUUAUAAUAAGUUCUCAUUAUUCUUAAAAUCUGCAGGUCAACAAAUUUUUUUGACAAUUAAUAGGUUAAAUUAUUUUUAUGAUUUUUUUACUUAGGUACUUUUGAUCAUUAAGGUUGCUUUAACAUAAGUUUUAUUUGACUAUUUUACCCUAAUAAAUGAUAAUAUAAAAUGAACAAAUUACCCUAAAAAAUAUGAGCUCUUAUGGCUAAUACUUCAGUUCUUUUAUUUUAUUUUAUUUUAUUAAAUCUCCAAACUUCUUCUUUAUUUGCAUUUUGUAAAAAUAAUAGAAAAUUAUCAAUCAUCUACUUAAGUUUACAUCAUUAUACAAAAUACUAUAAAAGUUUGAAUUUAUUCAAUUUUGGACCCCAUAUAUGCAAGUUGUAUCAACCAUCCACUGGAAAGAAAUAAUUAUCCUUACAAAAUAACAAAACAAAAAUAAAUACAAAUUAUAUUGGUAUUUAUUUUACAAAGAAAUUCCAUCUUUUCAUGUACAAUUGAUCUACAUUGUAAAUAAUGGGUGAAAAAUCAAACAAAUUUAAUUUUUUAUAGUAAUUUUCAUAACUGUGUAAUUUCUGGAUUAAUGGUUGAUAAUUUUCUUUUGAUUAAAUCUCUAAACUUCUUUUUAUUUGCACUUUCUAAAAUUGAUGUGAACUUAUUGUAAUUAUUUCUUAGGAGGGGUAGAUUUACAAAAAUAAUGGAUGAAAAUAUUAUCACCUCAAUAAUAAACCAUAAAAUACGUUACCAUACUAAUAUUUGUCAUUAAUUUUUAGUUAUUACACGUUCCCUCUGGAUAUUUAAAAAAAAAAGUCAUAUAAAAUAAACCCUGUUGUUAGAUUGAAGAUUUCAAAACUAACGUUUUAUAGCCUUUUCCUAUUUUAUCCCUCAAUCGACAUAUUUAUCUUAUAAAUAAAUUAAUAAAAUAAAAACUAAAUAAAUUUAAUAUUGCAAAUUUUGUUGCAAUAAAAAUUGCAACUAACCCAUUAAAAAUAUUGCUGGCAACUAUACAACAUAAUAGAAACAUACACUAAUAAAACAUAAAAAUAUUCCUCUUUUCUUCAUUGAAAUAUCAAAAGCCUAAAGAAUAAAAUCUCACAAAAAAAUUAAAAAUAAUACAAGAAUUUCUGCAAACCUAAAAAUUACAAGUCACCAAGUCUACGAGCAGUCGAUAAAAAUUUGUAAUUUUUUAAAAUUCAUUAGUUUAUGUCAUGAUGGGUUAUGUUGAUUUAGGGACAAAAUAGUAAAAGAACUAUUUUAACAUAUUCAUUCUAACCGCUAGAGUUACAUGGUUAAUUGGUUAUGUUUAAAAUGUCAGGAGAUAAGUGGGCAAUGUUUCGAGAAAUAGAGAAGAAAGGGAGAGGUGAAGUUUCCCAGAAGGAUUUACCCUUAACAAGUACCAUCACCCUGCUGGAAUAAAGCUACCUAGUCCAAUAUAUGGAAAUUUACGAAUUAGCAUCAAGGAUGUGGCAUGUACAUUAUAAAGUAAAUUUUUAAUAAGGUGCCAGAAAUGUUGUUUGUAGUCAUGGUAGUGGUUUGAAGGAAGGCAGUCUUAGUGUAGCUCGGAUACCAUGUUUGAUAUCAGGUUUUAAAAAAUCCUUUAGUUUUCUCAUUGAGUUCACUGAAUAUAUACAAUACAGGAGAAGAAAUUGUUCAAGUGAAUUCUUAGAUUAAUGCCAACUAAUUCCUAGUAUCAUGUAUACAUCUGUAACUAAAAUAUACAUAAAAGAUCUUUACGAAUGAAAAAUAACAAAUGAAUAAGUAUCAAUGUUGACCAAGUGAAUUAGGCAUUUCUCCUCAGCUGUCUCCACUGUGUUUUGGAAUGCUCCUGCAGCACCAUGGCCUUGGAUUGAAAUCAACACAGAUGGCCUGGCUAAUUUGUACAAAAUCAAGGACCUGGUAGCCACAAUAAGCCAAGACAAUCUUGGUCACUUACAACGAGCUAACAGCAAGCACCAUAGGCAUCAGCCACAACCCCAAAAAAGAGGCUUUAGAGCUGCCCCUAUUCUAUCAACAGGUACACGGCUAACAUCAUGAUUCUUAAAUUUCAACAUUUCAACAUUUUGUUGUCCCUUUUUUUUAUUUUUAACUUAUUAGAUAAAGAAUUCACUUCGUUUCCUUUUUAUUUCAGGGUUAUGGAAUGGGUUUCCGACGAUAUGAACAAUGCAGUGAAUGAUGGAGACGGGGGAGAGGAUGAUGGAAGACCCAUUUCCUUAGUCAGGUACAUGGCCAAUCGAGACAGGGGGUGGAUAUAACUGCAGAGGAAGGACAAAAGAAGGGGUAAAUGGGUAAAGACAAAUUUGCUACAUCAAAUUUACAGAGUACUAACUAGACAUAAUUGUUCAUUUUCAAAAUCGCAGCUGUUGGAUUAAAGUAAUUAAAAUCUAAACGGUUGGCCUGGAUAUGAACAAAAAGUGGGGUCUGGAUCCAUCGUAUCAAAAAAUAAAAUUAAAAAAAUUGAAUUAAUAUUAAACUAUUAUCAUCAUACUUGUAAAAUUAUUAAGUUGCAGUGGCUUGUCUUUGUCCAUGUGGCCUGUUGACUGUUUUUCAUUGAAAUAUUAAUUAGCAUGGUACUGACGCUUUUGUUGUGUUAUAUAAAUAAGUGGAGAGAACUCCCCAGUACCUUCCCUUGGGUUCACGUCUCUUCCGAAUUAGAAUUUUAGAUUUGCUUUGCUGGCUGCACUUGCACUCCCGGCCUGGUGUGCUAUAGCAAGUGAGUAGUGACUAAUAAAUUUUCUUCCGCCCACAAAGCCACUAUAAAUAUAUUAAUUAUUUUCACUCCAUUUUCUACUUCUUGUCAUUUAUCGAUCGAUCAAAAGAUCAACUUCUUGUUUACUCCUGAAGGUUAUAUUCCGCCAUAUAAAUAAUUUUGAAUAAAUUUAUCAUACAUUUAUCAUCUCUCUCUCUCUCUCUCUCUCUCUCUAUAUAUAUAUAUAUAUAUAUAUNNNNNNNNNNNNNNNNNNNNNNNNNNNNNNNNNNNNNNNNNNNNNNNNNNNNNNNNNNNNNNNNNNNNNNNNNNNNNNNNNNNNNNNNNNNNNNNNNNNNNNNNNNNNNNNNNNNNNNNNNNNNNNNNNNNNNNNNNNNNNNNNNNNNNNNNNNNNNNNNNNNNNNNNNNNNNNNNNNNNNNNNNNNNNNNNNNNNNNNNNNNNNNNNNNNNNNNNNNNNNNNNNNNNNNNNNNNNNNNNNNNNNNNNNNNNNNNNNNNNNNNNNNNNNNNNNNNNNNNNNNNNNNNNNNNNNNNNNNNNNNNNNNNNNNNNNNNCAGUUUUUUUUAUGAACAGUUUUAUUAUGAAGUCAAAAUGCAUGGGGUUACAAUAUUCAUGUCGACAUUGACGUUAUAACAAAAUUAAAUUUGCAGGUGAGGUCCGAGCGCGCGCGCGCGCGUAUGAACGUAGUAGGAGGAGCCGAGGAGGAAGAGGUUGAGAAUCGAGAAUGGCACAAGAACUAGUGCAACGGAAAAGCGGAAUAUUGGCCUUUGGAGCCAAGGCUUUGGCUAUAGUACUUCUUCUGGCUACGUUCUGCGGUAGAUAUCAUUACAUGAUGAUGAUCUUAAUUUAAUUAAUUGGCUUAAAAACACAGUGUGUGUAUAUACAGACACUUUUCAUUUCAGAAUUUUAAAAUGCGGGAUAGUAUAGGAAAUCUUUAAAAUUGUGUUGUUUUAAAAUUUAAUUUCAUAAUGAUAAUAAACCUUAUGUUUUUAAAAUUUUCCUGAACUCCAGAACUUUAAAAUUCCAGCCUAUAUAAUACAAUUGUUGCGUAUCAGCAUGACUGAGAUAUUGCAUGCAUGGUUAAAAACUCAACAUUGGCAAUAAUUCGUUUUAUUAUUUGUAGAUAUAUACUUCAAUAUUAAUAUUCCAGCCACGGCUACUUGAUGCAACCGUUGCCUGCUUUGUUGCUCUAUCCCAAGGUGAAGGUCAAGGGACUAUGCAUCACAAAAGUCCAACUACUUAGCUGUAUCGUUUUACAGUAUUAUGCAAUUAAUAUCCCACCACAUAUAUUAUUAAUUAACGAAAAUUCCUGGAUAUAAUAUUGGUAGAUAGAUAUAACUAACUAUUAUAACAAUGUAAUUAAAAUCUUCAUUUAUUAAUUAUAGAAACCAUCAAACAGAGUGAUGCACACAUUACGUAUCGUUCAUAUUAAUGGAGGGUGUUUAAUUAGUUACGAGAUGAGCAUGCAUGCUUGCACGCAGGUGGAUGGAGGAGGGUUAGUUGUUUCCUUUAAUUUGUUCAGUGGAAGCCAGAAGCACUUGCAUCGAUUCUUUCAAAAUCCUUAAAUAUUUAGUGGUCUAAUUUAUGAGUACUUUAGGUUUAAUUUGUGGAAGCAGGUUUAGUUAUCGAGAUUUUGAAAUUAAUGACUAUUGAAUAAAUUAAAUAUGCAUGCAGUGGUGGUGGUGGUGGUGGAUAUAUUUGACGCGGAAGCGAAAGCUGUUGUGAGAGAUGCCGCCGGCAUUAAAAGAGUAGAGCUGCUCGUUUCCAAGGAAAACAGCACUGCCUUCAAUAUCAAUCGGAAGCUAUUGCGCUACUCUGCAGCUGCUGCAGGUAAUAUUAAUGCUGACAUUUCCCAUGAUGCAUUUAUGCAUCACUACGUAGCAUUAGCCUCCUGCAUGCACGCGCAUUCUUCAUUUGUUAGUGAAAUUAAUCUCAGUAUAACGAAUGGAUUAAAAACUAAACGCAGAUGGAAAUAGGAUUGGUACAGCAUGCUCAAAAGAUGACAUAGUGAUAUAUCAAGGGUCAACGGCUCCACUUCCAAAUGGAAUACCGGCGUACACAGUACAAAUCCUCAACACGUGCACAUGUGUGUCAGAGUCAGAGUCAGGUGGUUGCAGCAUCUGCAACAUUCAUGUGAAUUGCGGAUGGUUCAGCUCAGCCCGUCUCGUAAAUCCACAAGUGUUUAGGAGAAUUCACUACGACGAUUGCCUUGUCAAUGACGGGGAAGCUCUUCCUCCUGGACAAGCUCUCUCUUUUCAGUAUGCUAAUACUUUCCAAUACCCUUUGUCUGUCUCAUCUGUUGUUUGCUGCUCUGCCUAAACCACCACCUCUAUGCGUUUGCUUUAUAUUUUAUUUUUAUAUGCCUCGUUGUUAACUUGGUAUGAUAGGCUUAGCUAGCUGCUGUUCUUUUCUUUCUUUUUUUCGUUUUUAUUUUUAAUAAAUGUUACCUAUCUGAUUUGUCUUGUCGUCUAUAUGCAAUAAAUAUAAUGGCUUCCUUCGUGUUCAUGGACAGAAACGAGAUUUAACAUUUAACAAUGUGUACACACUAUUUCAUACCCAUAAAAUAAUAAUCGAUUAGCGGCUAUACGCACGAUGUGUGGCGUAAGAAUAAUAACCUGAUAGGCUGAGCCGAGGUAAGCGCGGUAGUGAAAUUUACGAACGGAUGAAAGGCCCAGGCCCAAACCCCAUGCACAAUGUGCUGCUGCUAGUGCUACCUCCUCAUUCAGUUAUUAAGGGCCCGUUUGGUACCGUUUUGCAAGUCAUGUUUUCGUUUUUAUUUUUAUAAUACACACAUAAAACAUGUUUGGUAGAUUUUUUUCACAAAACAAAUUACAAAACACAAAAUCCGGAUUUAUUAUUAUAACUAUACAACUGAAAAUAAGUUAAACAUGUUCUCUAAAUUUUACAAGCUAAACCUAAAAAUGAAUUAAAAAACAACAAAGAAAUCGUGACCCUGCAGCCCUCACUUUUCUUUUCACUGCAGCCCUCACUCUCAAUUCAGUUCACUGCAGCUCCCUCUUUCCCCUCAAUUUUCUCAAUCCAGUUGCAACAAAUCUCUCUCUUGGUCGCUCUUGGUGUGCUAGCCACUGCCGCUGCUCUUUCUCCGUUGUAACCGCUGCUGCUACUUCGUCUUUGCUCUCUCGGAUCUUUGCUCUCUCGGAUCUUCGUCUACUGCUACUUCGUUGUCACUUGCCGGUAUUUAUUUUGUUUAUGAGCUGAAAUUUUUGAGAGAUGAUUUGAGUGAUUUUUAAUUCUGGAAAUUUCUGAGGUUGUUCAUAUGUAGUGACAAAUUGUUUAUUUAUGAGCUGAAAUUUUUCCUCAUUUAUUUUAGAGAUUGUGAAAUCUCAAUUUGUGUUCAAAAAAUAAUAAUUCUAUUUCCAAGUUUGAUAAUGCAACCUAAAUUAAAAAAAAAAAUCCUUCACAGAUUUGUGCGAAAAGGAAGAAAAAGAAAUGCACGAGAAAAUAAUCAAAUUGUAACCGGCAAUUUGAUUUCAGAGUAGAAUUGAAUUCAUUUUUGCAUAAACUCCCAAAACCUAUUUUCAUAAUGCCAAAUCAUAAUCAAGAAGCUUCCUCUCAUACGAAAUUUUUAUAAUGAAUAAAUUUAUAUUGAUAUAUUAAUUCCAAAAGUAAUAAUUUUGUAUAAAUCACUUGAUGAAUUUGUGGGUCUUAAAUUGUCCUGGAAAAUAUACCCUUUAUGCUAGAGAUCUUUGAUAUUUCCACUAUUUUUUAUGAAGAAAAUAGACAUAAGAGUAUGAGAGGAAUCUUUAUUGGAUUAAAAUGGGUGUUUGAAGUAAAACAAAAAAUUUCAUUGAUGAGUGUUGUGAGAAAUUGAGUUUGUUGAGUAUUUUAAUGAAUUCAAAUAAACUUCACCUCGUACUCAAUAAUUCCACAUAUCUCAAAUGAUAUAACUAGAGUAUUGUAGAUUAAUCAUAUUGGGGGUUAUUACAUUACUGAAAAUUGAGUGGGGGAUUAAUAGCAUGUACUGAAAAUUGUAUGUUUAUAUCUAAAAAUUUAAUAGCAGUGUUUUUAAUUUGAUUAAUAUUUGAUAUAUGUUUUAUUUUUUAUUUUUUCGGGUACCAUUUAGUUUUUAAUGUAUGACAUGUUGCUGAAAUAUGUAUAUGUUAUGUUGAAUUUGAUCAUUAUUUGAUAUGUGUUAUUUUUUUUAAUUUUUCAAGAUAUGGAUGUGCAAGAUUUGGUUACCAACGAUGAAGGAGACACUAGUAAGCCACUUACUAAUAUUAAUUUAUCUCCAGCAAGUGUCGCAGAGAUGAAUGCAACAAGAGAUGAAAUUGCAGCUUUUAUGUGGCAUAAUUACAUACGUAAUGCAUAAUGUGUAUCAUGUAGUUUUUUUAUAAUUAUUUUGUUUAAAUCAUGUGUUGUAAUAUAUAUAUUAAUUAUAUAGUGUAAAAACAAUGACAAUGUCAAACUUCUUUUUAAUUAAUGUUAAUUCUUAAACUUUAUUAUCAUGUAAUUUUUUUAUAUUAAAUUUGGUUAAAUUAUUUUGUUGUAUUUGUGUGUAUUAGCUAAAUAAUUAUUUUAUGACUAUAAAUAUAAUGUAAAUGAUUAGUAAAAAUUAUUUUUGAAAAAAGCAUUACUAAAUGCAUAUUCUCUGUUUUUAUCAUUUUCAACUGUGUUUACCAAACGCAUAUUACUGUUUUCAGUUUUUAAAUAUAUGAUACAGAAAAUGAUACCAGACGCAUAUUUAAAUUCGAGAUACAGUAACUGCAAAACACCAUUUUCGUUUUCGUUUUUAUUCUCAGAAAAUACUGAUUCAAAAACAAUACCAAACAGCCCUAAUUAGCAUAAUGAUAAUAGUAAGGCAAUAAACGAAAACAACGCAUUCUUUUGAUAAUUGCAAACCAAAACUGCAAAACUACAGAUCUAUCGGACAGAAUACAUCGACGAAUGAAUGAAGAAGAUAAGGUUCUUUAUCCAUAAAAAUUAAAAUAGAAGAAAAUUGCUAGCUUAAAAUUGGAAUCGAACUAAAAAGUAACCAAAAAUCUUCCUUUAUUCAUGUCGAAAACUCAUACUAGACUCUCGAUCUAUGUAUGUGUAUGUUAUGAAAAAUGAAUCUAGUAUCCAUAAUCAUAACUAAAUUCAGUGACACCAACCAUAGCUGAAAGUACCUGGGAAAUAAUGAAGAUGGUGCCACCCAAUAUCACCAAAAGCAGAAUUGCAGAGAUGGGGUUCUUGAGCAACUCGAAAAUAGGCUGCAGGAUUGUGUAGAGAGCACCAGUACUCACCGUGAGAGCAUAAAGUGCAUACCUCCUUACAUUUUCCCAAAACUCUUCCACUAAUGGCCCUUGAGGACCAAAAGCCAUUGCCUUGGGGUCAUCCAUCCCCAUCAACAGCAACACAAAUCCUACAGAUAUAGCUCCAACUACCAAUACCCUUGAAUUCCCAUCUGUAAAAGCUUUCACUUGGCUGCUUUUUGGAGACCUCUCAAGAGCUUCUCCUUCUCCAGUCGAUUUGUCUGAAUGUGCAUGUGAUGCGCAUUCACGGAGUAGUGGACGUUUAAGUCUAAUAAGGUUACAUGGAUUGGUUUUGGUUUUGAUGGGCAUGGUGGUGAAAGUUGAAGGAUUUGCACUUGGGUUGGUGAGAUUGGUGCAUCUGAAUCUAAUUGGGAGGAAAUUUUGAGAUUUUAGCGCACUGGUUCUCAUUUUUUUUUUUCUUCCUUUUUUUGAGCUCGGAGAAUUAACAAUUAGUAUGUCAUCAACAACUCUAACACUGCCUAUCAGAUUGAGUUGGUGAUUGGAGCGAACUGGUGGUUGUGGCCUUUUUCUUGAUUUCUCACCUCACCUUAUCUUAUUAUUAUCUAAUUCAUAUUUAUACAUAUACACACUAUAUGCUGAAGCUGAACUGUAGAUUGUAAUUCAGAGAGGGUACAAAUCUACUGACCGUGGGCUUGCGCUGAGGGAGCCCAUCUACUGUCCAUCAUCUACAAGUACUCUAAUCUUGUGCUAUAAAUAAAGUUGUCGUUUUGAGUCUAAUGCAUUUGAAAAAGAAAAAUGAUACAUGAGUGGAUUACAAAUAUAACAUACGUACAUACAUAUCCUCUCGGUCAAAAUAAUUUCACCACCAAUGAAUAAAUACAUUUUGGAUUUGUAGGAUUAUUUCUGUGAAUGAAAGCAUUUUAUUUAUCAAAUCACAUUUGGGACACACACACACAUUAUUCAUUAAAAAAUUAGUUAAAAUUUCAUGAAUUAUUUUUAUUAUUGUUAUUAUUUUAUAUAAACACACAAAUAACACCAUAAUAACACACUUUUUAGCAAAUGAAUUGAAGAAAACGAUUAUUUAAUCAUUAAUGGAUACAAUGAUUAUUUGUAUUCUAAAUUAGACUUCGAAUAUCUUUUAGAUUACUUGGGACACUUAUUGAAGUAAUUUUAAAUAUUCAUAAUACUCUUGUAAAUACUAGAAUAAUAGUCAAUCAAAUCUCUUUACACCUUUUAUUUUCUUUGAACUUUCCCAAUUUUUUCUCAUUGUUACUAUUUAUUUGAAUUUCUUCAUUUCUUCAGCCUCAUAACUAAUGACAGAAUCUGAAAGUGUGGAUGACUAGUCAUGUUGUCUUUGUCGCACAACCAUGGAUGCUUGUUGGUUUUGGUUAAUAACAAAGCAAUUUUAAAUUGCAAUGUCAUAUUUUCUUUUGUUGGCGACGGGAGAUAGUAGAAGCAAAAUUAAUAGGGUAUAAAAAUAUUAGAUAUUGUUUCAGUAGCAGACCAGCCAACACAAUCAGGUUAUGUUCUAGACGAAGUAUAAUUAGAUCUCAUUUUAAUCCAAACAACUUAACGAGAUUUUCUAUAAUGCUUUAGGCAAGAUUAGAUGACGCUUUAAUGUAAAUGACAUGAUGCGAUUUUGAUCGAUAAUUCCAAUGAAAAUUUUAAAAGAGCAGCUUAUUAUUAAUCAAAAGUUGAAGUUUUGAAAAUAAUAAUAAGACCUCACUAUUUAUAAUAGAGCAUAUCUACUUCCCUAAGUUAACUUAAAAAACGAAAUACAUAAUGGAUUCUAAUAAAAAAAAAUCAAAAUACCUAGAAUAAUAAAAUUCUAUAAUCUUAAAAUAACGUCCUACAUCAUAUUUUUUUUGUGCAUUAAUUUAUUCUUUGAUUCUUGAUUUUGAGGUUUUACUUUUACUUUUACUUUUCUUCAUGAAUCUUAUACCUACGCUUGAUAACUUUUUUAACUAUGUUAGUGAACUUGGAAGAGUUUAAAUUAUGAUAUUUUUAUGAAUCUUUGUUAAAUUUACGUAUUUUCUGUUUUAUGAUGAAAUUGUGAAGAAAAAUAUUAGAUUUUAAUUUGCACGUUGAGUAAUUUAAAAUGGGUGUUAAGAUUGAUAAUAUUUAUGUAAUCCUAAUAAAUUGUCUAUGUAGUAUAUUUUAGUCAUUUAAAUUUUUAAUAAAAUGAAAAUAUUUAAAAUAUAUUUGAAAGUGGUCAUGCCCAUUGGGCUCUUAGCCCACACGAGCGUGGGUUCAAUUUCUCAUGGGAAAAUUUUCGUAAUAUAUCUCUUUGAUAAUUGUGAAAGUACAUUUUUCUAAAUUGUGUUUUGAUAGGCAUUUGGGGUGAACUAAAAAUAUACAAUUUUAUGUAUUUAAACUUCCAUUAAAAUUUAGAUCUUCAUGUAUGUAGAUAUAGUAAUUAAAAAAAAAUUCCUAUAAAAAAUAUAUAUUUUAAAGUACAAAUUCUCUCCCCCUAAAUCAAAUGGUAAAGUUUUUGAUUGAUUGAUAGAUGAUGUAUGCAUGUCCAUUCAUUCGUACCAUAAUAAGUGCCAAAGGAAUUAAAAUCGUCAUCGACACUACUAAUGGCUGCCACAUAAGAUUAAAGAACUUUAAACAUGCCACGUGUCAUAACUAAACCCUUGACGAAUAUUAGGGUUCAUGUUAAUUCUCACAUACAAAGACAAUCCUCUCGAAACUUAAAAUUCCAUUUUUACCCUUCUUUGAUGUUUUCCACCUUCUUCACGGCCUCCUCUCUUUGGCCUGUAACCCUCUCUAAAUCUCAAAUGUCAACUUUGUUUGCGAGGAAUUCUUUUGCAAAAAACGCUUUUUCUUUUUUUGCAUUAAUUUUUAGUUCUGCACUGAUAAAGCCAUCUCAUCUUAUCUGGGUCCUUCAUUGAACUCUCCUGGUCUUGCUCAUUCAAAAAUAAAACUAGACCAGGUAUUAUUUAUUUAUUUAUUUUACUUGAGUGUUGAUUUUAAAAAUCCAUCUGUUGUCUCUUUCGGCUUGUUUUCAGCUACUGUCGGGGGAUAAUAUGAAAGUAAAGCCAUGGUGCAGUUUACUUUGUUAAUUUACCUCUAAUUUGCUUAUGGGUUUUAUUUGUUUAUCCUUUGAUUCCUACUAUUAGCUUAGGGUUUCAUGAACUGGGUAUGAUUUUUUAUAUGAUGAGUACUGAAAACUGGGUUAGUUUAGUUUGGUGUCAAACACUCACUUCAUGGCUUGAAUUGGGUUGUUUUCAGCUAAUGUAGCAGAAGGGGUUGUCUACGAACUGUUUCUGGCUCACUUCAUUAUCAAGAUGUCUGCAAAUGGCCAUGGUUUUGUUUCUUGGGAAGAGCACAUUAUAUGCCAUGAACGUGGAAGCCGUGUAGUUCACUUUUACUUGAAGGAUAAGUCUGGGACUUUAGUGCUUGCAGUUGUAGGCACUGAGAGAAGUAUAAGGCACAUGAUUUAUGUUGUUUCAGAUGAGUUCUUGAAUGUUUGUGGAUCAGAAGGAUCCAUCAAUGCAUCCAUGAAAUGGCGAGCAAGACGAGAAGUUGUAGACUGGUUAACCUUAUUGGUCUCCAAGUGUCAGCCGCCACUAGAAUUUCCAAGUAUGUACUAAUGCAUGCAUUUGCAAAGUUUUAUAAUUAUUCUUCUAGAAUAUUCAUGUAUUAUUAGUUUGCAUGGAAGUAUUUGAUAAGAGUUUGCUGUUGUAAUAAAAUUCAAAUAGGAAAGUCACAUUUACUAUUGUUUCCACAUGUCGGAAGAGUGGCACUUGAGCUGCUGGGUUUAUGAUUACGAAUUGCAUGCCGGGCUCUGUGUUACUAACUGCAAACAGUUUGUUUUUCAAAGUGGACUUGAAAAUUUAUCUUUCAUUUUAGGUUAUGUCGUAUGUUGCUGCAUUUUUUGCUUUCAUUUGGAAGAGGUCAAACAUUUAUGUAUGUUAAUAGAUUCUGAGCAUUUGUCAACGCUGUAGAAUAUUUUGGAUUUCCUAGUGGAAUCCAUAAUUAUUUAGGUUUAUUUUUAAUUGUAGAGUGACUAACGUGGUUCUUAAUUGUAUUGCUGAAACUUACCAAAAUAGGUUAUUGCUGCCUCUAGAAAUUAUUUAGAAUAUGCUUCUGAAAUGGAACAGCAGUUGUUGAGAUGUCAAGAACAUGAAUAUUAACUGCUUGCAAGUCUCCUAUUAGAAGUGGUUACAGUUCUCCAAGUAUGGGAAAUAUCGCGAAUUUGUUAGUUUGUUUCGAUCGAAUCAAUAGGUGUCUUAAUGGCUUUCUCUUGUCAUGACUGAUGGCACACUUAUGUUCUGCAUUUCUUCUUGUCAAGUUUCAGGUAUUUUAGUUGUGUAAAGAUGUAUAUCCUAAAACAGUUGCAUGAAGGUUAGAAACCUGUUGCAUGCUAUAUUCAUUUCUUGUGUAAUGGAAAGCAUGUCAUCCUUUCGAUCCCUAAAUUGAAUGAUUUAUGCUCUACAUUAUCUACUUUUGGCAUUCCUUGAAACCUGGGUAUUUCUUGCCACAUUUGUCAUGCAGACGUAGUUGUAUUCUUAAUUCUGGAUGGAAGAUUUAAAAGUUUUAUGAUCUUUUCAGUAACCCUUGCUGUCUGCCGUUACAGCGAAUUUGAUCUGCUAAGUCUAAUAUUUCUAUAACAGAUUCACAGGUGGAUGAUUCAACGCAAGAUUUUGGAUCUCUUCAUCUUCUGACAUCAAGAUUAUCUUAUCACCAAACCUAUUUACCGGAUCACAUGGUAUCUAUCUUCUGCAGUUGUUAUUUAUGUUAUGUAAGUAUAGGACUUUUGUUCUUUCUAUAAUUGGGAUUUCACUGUAAAUACAGGUAAUAAGAAAAUUGAAAGUUCAAAAUUCAGAUAUCGAGUGGUCUGGCAUUGCUUGGAAUUGUACUAAACAGCUCAAGCACUACCCAUCCUUUUGCAGGAAUGGAACCGUAAUAGCUGUAGGUCAAUGUAUUAAUUAUUAUUGCUACAUGUUGUGCCUGACUUUUACUUUAGUGCUGUUACAUGUCUCAUUGGCAUCUGACUGCUUUUUCCAUUUUUUGUCCGCCUGAUGCCCAGGUUCAUUCCUUUGUAUUUAUUACGGCUGAAGAAGAAAGUCACCGCCUUGGAUACGUGGAAGAUAUGUAUGAAGACAAGAAGGGACAGAAGAAGGUGAAAUUGCGGUGGUUUCAUCACAACAAGGAAUUUAUUGAUGUAAUUCCUGAUCUGAAUCCACAUCCUAGGGAAGUUUUCAUCACAACUCAUGUUCAAGUGAUCAGUGCAGAGUGUGUUGAUGGCCUGGCAACUGUCUUGACUCCCAGGCAUUAUGAGGAGUGUGUGGCUGUUGUUCCUCACACGUCACCCUCCAGUAUUUACAUGUGUUUUAGGCAGAUAAAAAAUAAAAAAGUAAAACCCUUCACUCUUACUAAAUUGCGAGGGUACUCUAGUCAAGCAAUUGUCUCUAGUUUAGGCGGACCUCCUGUUCCCAAGCAAAAGGCUAGGUGCCGUAAGCUGGAGAAUGAAGAUGAGAAACAAUUGAGUCUUGAUGAUCCAGCAAGGGUGAGUACUAAGAGAAGUAGAAAUUGCAAGGGGCAAGGACUUGAAGGUGGUUUUGGUGUGAAAAAUUCAUCUCCUGUGGAUCAGAAUACAAGUACUGAACUUAAAUGCCCAAAGUUUAAAUUAAGAUUGUCAAGAAAAAGAAUGGGAAUUAAGGUGGUUUUACCGCAAUCAGACUGUCCUACCACUUUCAAAGUGGAUGAGAAAAUAGAGCUCCUCUGUCAAGAUAGUGGCAUUCGGGGCUGCUGGUUCAGGUGUAAGGUUAUGCAAGCAUCCCAGAAGCUACUGAAAGUAAAAUAUGAUGAUGUGGAGGAUGCUGAUGGUUCUGGAAAUUUAGAGGUACACAGAUGCUGCAUGAACUUUAUUCUUGAAUUUUACAAGAAUGCUUUGAAACUUUUCUAGCUUAAAUCUUUGACAACUGCAUCAAAGUAUGAACAGGCAGUAUUUUUCUAGUUGAAUAUAGUUAGUAUGAUUUCCAAUUUUGUAAAAUUGUGAUCUUGGUGCCUCAUUUGGUUAUUUUAAGAAUAGUAAUGAUUUCUUGGCUUGGAUCGUGCCCGUGACCAUCUUUUCAGCAGUCUGCAUUGAUGGUGGCAGCCAAUUGCACCUAAAAUGAUGUAGGAAGCAUAGGGGUUAAAAUAAAUUAGGGAUUCUAGAUUUUGGGUCUAAUUAGUCUUUAGUAUUUUGUAAGGAUUUAUCUUGUUUUAGUAAGCUUAUUUGAGUCAUAUUUUUAAUCCUAGUCUAGUUAGGAUUUUAGAUUAUUUCACUUAUUUGAGAAGGAUUAGGAUUUAAUAGCUACUAGUAUAAAUAGGCUUGUUAUCUUAGUUUAUUGUCAUACCUCUUAAACUUUUCAUUAAUAAUAUUUUAGAAUAUUCCCUUCUGUGUUUAUUUUUGCCGUGGAUUCAGCAUUUUCUUUCAUUGAGAGCUAUCCUUUCUUGUGUACUUGAGACAUACGCAAUGACUCAAAUAAGCUUUACUUAAACAAGAUAAAUCGUAAUAAAAUACUAAAGAUUAAUUAGACUCAAAAUCUAAGAAACCCUAAUUUAUUUUAAUCCCUAUGCUUCCGACAUCAUAAAUCUUUAUUCUUUUCUUUAUUUUGUAGGAAUGGGUACCUGCAUCCAGGGUGGCAGCUCCUGAUAAACUGGGCAUGAGAUGCCAAGGUCGCCUGACAAUUCGGCCAUGUCCUCCAGUUAAUGCUGCAAGAUUUAAUUCUGAGGUUGGAGCACCUGUUGAUGCAUGUUGGAGUGGCGGAUGGUGGGAAGGUGUUGUAAUUGGUGUCGAUGUUUCUGGAGAUGAUGUCCUGCGAGUUUACCUCCCUGGUAUGCUCCACUGUUCUAUUUGAUGCAUCGUUGUUCCACGGUUAUUUUUCAUCUUCGUGAAUGAUGUGAUUUUGUCUGUGAUUUUUAGGUGAAGAUAAGGUCCUGAGUGUGCAAAGACAAAAUGUGAGGGCUUCCAAAGACUGGGUUGGCAACAAAUGGGUUGAUGUGAGGGGAAAUCCCAACAUACUCUCCUAUGUUUCUGCAAACUUCAAAUCUAGCUUGAGGUCUUCAGUGUGCUCUGCUAUUAAUGGAGCAUUAGGUGAUCUUAAUACUGCAUUGCCGGAGCAGGAAGUCCUCGCAACCUCCAAAAUUGAAGCUGUUGAAGAAGGUAAACCGGAGUUGGCUGGUUUAGUUGUGAUUGAUGACCUUAAAAAUUUAAAAGAAAGUGAUAUGAGAAAGCUGCAUUGUCACAAAGAUGAAGAUAAAAUUGUGGAAGUUGGAGGUAGAGAUGACAACGAGGAUUCUAAUGAUAAAGCUGAGUUGGUUUUGAAGGAUAGUACUGAACCUGCAAAAACCAGAGGAAAUUUGUAGUAGACGCCCUCAAAAGGGUGGUUUAAGUUGUAUAAUAAAAAGAUAUGGUAUAGCCAGCUGCAGGGGGCAAAGUUUUGACCUGGAUGGUAAAUUGUGGUUUCUUUGGUUUCUGUAUAUAAGAUAGAGAAGAGUUGGUAUAGUGAUAUACUGAAGACGAUGACUCCCAAGUUUCUAACUAGAGGAGAAGCCGCAGAUGUAUAGCAGUAAUAUAGAACUGGGAUAAAAAGGGUUUAGGUUUAAAGGCUUUGAUAGGGUGGGUAUCAGUUCAGAAGUAGAUCAGUGAAUUGCAGUGUGUGCUUAUUGCUAACUGCGUUUGCACCCAAAGUUUGUAUGCAUCUUUACAGCCUAGGAGUUUCAGCUUUAAUCGUAAACUGUAAAGGCUGUGUUAUAGGAUGUUUUUGUUGGUUAAAUAAAUCAAAUAAUGUACUUUUAUUUAUCCUGUGGUUUCUUUCCUUGGUCGAUUGUUUGCCUUUUUUAAAAAAAGAAAAAAAUUAUAUUUUGACAAGGCAGUGGCAUCACUGAUUAUUAUUUUGCAUAAACCUUAUCACUUGCACCCCUUUAUGACCUUUUUGCAUUACCUGCAUGAUUUAUUAUGAUUCUACUUAAUCAUUUUAAUGUUCAUUACAAGUCAUCGUGGAUUGAGAAUACAUCCUUGGUCCUUUUUUUUUUCCCUUUCUUUUAAUACGUUCAAUACUUUUAAAAAUUUAAAUUUGUAGGAGUUUUUUUUUCAGAUAAUUUCCCUUUAGUGAAAGGAAACGAAAAAAAGGGAAAUUUUAAAAAUUAAAAUUUACAGGAUUUUUUUUUUAUUUCCCUUUAGUAAGGUCAAACGAAAUUCGAUAAAAUUAAACACAGUGAUGUGAUAUCAAGUAGGAUUAAGAUAUUAAGCUAGUAUGCUUGGAAUAUUAAAUGUUAACGAUUAAGGAAUUCAAAGGACAUGUAUGCAUUCUAACUGUUAUUGGACAGAGUUGUCUCAUGAUUCAUGUAACAGUGAUUAAGUAAACGUAGGCAAGUAUAUAGAAUUGUAAAGAAAUUUUGUUUUCCAUUUUCGAAGUGACGACAAUGAAUACGAAGAGGAAUAAUUUAUUUACAAUUUGGAACAAGCAAUAGAAUAUAAAUAGGGUUGUCAUGGGGGAGCAAGCCCCUUUUUGACAAGCAUAUCAUAAACCCUAUCAAUUUUGCUUGGUUCAAUCUUGAACAAGUGAUGAGCAUCAGCUUUAUUAUUGACAUUGCCGCUGAAGAUCUCCCUGGACAUGACCUCUUGCAUCCUAAGAUAUAGAGGUGGAGCUAACCUGAUCUCACAGCAUAGGCGCUUCUCCUGCCAAAAUGACAAUGCUAGCUAGCUUACAAGUGUUCAUUUUACGGCGGACAAAGAAAGAAAACGAUGGAUUAGAAACUUACAGCUUCAGACAGUAAUUGUGUUUCAUUGAAUCCCAUUAUAUACAAAUCAUUUACAUGGCUUGAAGAAGCCUGUCCUGAAGGUCUUGAAUUUGAAUUUGAAUCUUUGCCAAGAGACUCUGAAGCCAUGAACACAUUUGCACCACCCUGACUGCUUGCGCCAGCAUGGCCACCUUCUUUUGCUCUGCGAGAAGCUUCUUCAGCUUCCCUUCCCCUUUUCAGUUCAAGGUAUCUAUCUGCCUCAGCAGAUGUACGGCACCCAGCAGCUCGGGCUUCCUGUAUAAUUAAUUGGAAUUUCGGCUUUCUUCAACAGGAACAUUUGUGUAUAAUAAUAUUUUGGGUAGUUGGAUAUAUCCAAUGAAGGAAACAUGUGCGAAGCACGAAUUAUACCUUAAGGUCUUGAAUUCUUUUCAGAGUUCGGUGCUCUGAAAUAACAGUCUGAAGCAAAUCCUCAUGGUCUUCCUUUGAAUGAAAACGCAUGAAGACAUCAUAACGCCGACAUAGCUCCCUCUCUUCAGGGGACAAAUCCUUCUCAAAAGGAUUUGGGUAUAACAAAUUUCUUUCUAGUAUGAAAUCCUUUCUACGCUUCCUCUCAUCAAGCCUGUUUCAACCAUAAACCGUGCACAGAGAGAUCAUUCUGUCACCAAUGUUAUAUCUACCCAAAAUUUCACAAUAUGAGUAGGAAUUUAAGAAUAAUGAAACAAUCAAAGUGCAAAGUGCAAUCAUGUAAGAAAGAAGUAUGUAUUGCAUACCUCUUUGAAUAUAUACGUAGCACGCGCAGCUUAAUGUCUCGCUCUUCCUCAGAGUCAGCAUCUUUGAAUUCCAUCUCAGCGAGUAAUUGCUCUGCAUCAUUGUCAUACUCAGGAUCAAAUUCUUGUCUUUUGCUGUUAUAACCACUCAAUUCAACUAAGGAUGGACCAUCAUUCCCUGAAGUGACUGGUUUCUUCCCCUUGGAACUUCUCUCUGUUUGAGGAUCUGCCACAAAAUAAAAGACAACACAAAUAGGUACUCCAAUUAUUGCAGCCAGUUAGAUUACGGCUCCCAGCCAAUAAUAAACACCACGCAUACAGAAAAUCUAAUUGUGUUACUCAUAAAAUUAUUUCAAUAAGACAUUUAGUACCAGCCAAUCAAGAAAAUACUAAUGCUUACCUGCAUUUAGACCACGGCCAGAGGGUCCAACUUUAUGCAUUUCUUCAAUUCUUUAAACAAAAAAAUGAAAAUUGGAAUAAGAAUUAUUUUUAACCUGAAUGCAUAAGAAAGCAUCAAAAUGAACUAAGACAACACAUGCAUAUAGGUGAGAAUGAUAGCCCUACUUGACUCUUGAAGGAGAAAAUGGAGAUUCUUCCUUCACAGUUGCUUCCCCAGGCUUGCUAGGUCCUGCAACAGCCACUUGCAAUUGAUGAAAUGAGGUUCUAUCAAUAAUAGACACUAGGCAUAUAAAUAGGAAGAGUAAUUAUGCAAAAUGACCAAAAGUCAUCUGUGCACUGACAGUAGGUUUUCAUCCUAAUCAAUUAUCAUUCUUUCAGAACUGGAUACAGUACUAGCUUCUGUAAGAUGGUAACCUCUCUGCUGCAUGCCAUGCAGAAUAGAGAUAAUAUAUUGUUAGACCCAUGAAAACUUAUGUUAGGCGCAAAUAUAAAAGAGCAGGGGCUGUUUAGUAAUUUUAGGGGCAGGGGCAAUUUAGUAACUUUAUUAUUAAUUAGGGUUUAGCUAUAAAUAAGAGAUUAUGGAGUCAUUUAGGGUUUAUGUUGAGUAUUGUCUAGUAUUAGGAACCAUUAGGAGUUUUGGGAGAGAUUGACCUACCUCUCGAAUUGUAGGUCAGGAUUGAUUGUUAGUUUUCUUUUGAUUUAAUCAAUAAAAGUCAGUCUUAAUUUAGCCCUAAGUCCUAUCAAAGUGGUAUCAGAGCAAGAAUCCUGAGACCAUGUCAUCAAAGAAAGUGGACGCACUUGAAGAAAAAUUGGAAGCGGAGAUUGGAUCGCUCAAGGCCACCAUUGACGAGCGAUUUAAUAACGUUCAACAAAAAUUUUCAUCCCUUGAAGCCAUGUUGUUGAAAUUGAUAGAACUCCACCUCAACCCACCAUUGGCAGUAUCAACAGGCCAAGACGGUGUGGUGGUAGAAGGAUCGGGCGACACGAAACCCGUGCUCGGCAACGGCACAGAUUGCGGAGGGUCGAAAACCACCAGUCUUGCACAGCCAUGGGCAACAGUUCACGGCGGAUUUGGUGGCGGGGAGGUUAGCCUAGGGGACUUACGGCCUAGGGGAGCCUUUCCUGGUGUUGGGUGUGGCGAAGGAGGCUGGGUUGCGACUGGGGGCGGUGGAUCUGAGGGUUACGCGGCUGGAGGAGGCAGUUUAGGAUUGGGAAUCGGUGCUUCGGCAUCGGAAUGGGGCGCGCAAGAUUCGGGGGUGGACGGGCUUGGCGACUUGGCGGCAUUUGGGGGUGACACACGGCCUGGGCAGGCCGAAUUUUGGGCUGGGCAGGGCUGCUGUGGGCCUGGGCAGGGCGAUUUUAGGUCUGGACAGGUCGUAUUUAGGGGCGGAUGGCCAGGAAGAGGGGUUACCUGCAAGAAAGGGAGCGGUUAUGACCGGAAUGCAGUUGGGCGAGGGAUUUCAGCCCAAUAUGGGGCUGGGCAAGGAGAAUUUUGGGUUGGGUCUUCGGGAUUUGUAGACACUAGAGUAGAUUCGGGAGUUUGGCGACCUCUAAUGGCACGAAAUUGGGCGGGUCAGACUCAAUUUGGAGCGGAUUCUAGGGUAAGAAAGCUGAAAAUGCCCAUUUUUGAAGGCGAUGAUGCUUAUGGAUGGGUGUAUAGGGUAGAGUGCUAUUUGACCAUCAAUGAACUCUCAGAGAGGGAAAAAUUAAUGGCAGCGGCGUUAUGUUUGGAGGGAAAGGUACUUGCAUGGUUUCAAUGGCGAGAACAACGACAACUAUUGAGGUCGUGGGGUGAAUUUAAGGACCGGCUAUUGGAGAGAUUUCGGGCCACUCAAGAAGGGGAUUUGCAUGAACAAUUUUUUGCCUUGACCCAGGAGAGAACGGUCAUGGAGUAUAGGAAAAAGUUUGAGCUGUUGUCGGGACGUCAAUGGGACAUCUCAAAGGCAGUGUUGGAAGGGAAUUUUAUGAAGGGACUGAAGCUAGAAAUCCGAGCCUCGCUACGCUUGCUAAGGCCGAGAGCAAUCCAAAUCACCCAAAAAGUGGUCAACUGAACAUUUCCACAGGCACUCUAGCCUUUUCACCUUUCCCAAAAGCAUAAAUAAACUCUGAAAGCACAGACAUACCAGAAGCUGGCAUCACCCAAGAGAUUUCAGCUGCCUGAAACUAUCUAUUCCACAGCUGGACAGCAUUGUCACAAUACAAAAACAAAUGAUCCGUCCUUUUGCCAUUUCUCUUGCACAUGACACACCGACAAGGACACAAACACACAUUAGGAUUCCGCCUUUGAAUAAUGUUACCAGUACUAAGUUUACUAAAAGCGAAUGACCAAGAAAAAAUUUGAACUUUACUUGGGAAUUUAGCUUUCCAAAUCAUAUGGGCCGGCUGAAAGGUCAAAAGAACUUGAUCAUCAAUCAACUUAUCGAAAAAGGAUUUGCAAGAAAAAUGUUAGGUCCAUGAAAACUUAUGUUAGGCGCAAAUAUAAAAGAGCAGGGGCUGUUUAGUAAUUUUAGGGGCAGGGGCAAUUUAGUAACUUUAUUAUUAAUUAUGGUUUAGCUAUAAAUAAGAGAUUAUGGAGUCAUUUAGGGUUUAUGUUGAGUAUUGUCUGGUAUUAUGAACCAUUAGGAGUUUUGGGAGAGAUUGACCUACCUCUCGAAUUGUAGGUCAGGAUUGAUUGUUAGUUUUCUUUUGAUUUAAUCAAUAAAAGUCAGUCUUAAUUUAGCCCUAAGUCCUAUCAUAUAUCAAGCAAGCAAGCAAGCAACGAAAGUGAAAAGGAAAAAAGGAAAAGAAAUAUAACUCCAAGGAGAAGGAUGAAAAUAAUGUAGAAAACCUUUCUUAUCAUCAAUGUGACCUUUAGCCAUAGCAAGGAGCUCCUUUCUGUUUUUGCCGACAACAUGAGACAUGUCCUGGGCAGGAAAAAGCGUUGACAACUUAAUUAUUUAUCAAAAAUCAACUACUAAAAAGAGGAUUGGCUUUGCUGAAAAUGUUGUACCGGGAGAGGAAAGAAUGGGGAGUUCAUGUACACAUUUGUAUAAUGUUCAAUACAAAGUUCCUUGGUCUUUGUCCCAACAUGUUCUGCAAUUUCUGCCCAGUUCCCCAAGCCAUACAUUUCGAUUCCCUAAAGAUUACAAAAAAUUUCAACAAUAGAGAAGUCAAAUACAAUAUCUCCACAAACCAGAUAUUGUAUCAGCAGAUUUAGAAUAGUACGACCUUCAAGACAUUAAAAGGCAAAAGGCCAAAAAAUACCUCUAGAAGCAAAAUUUCGUCAUCUGCAUUCCAAUCAGGGCAUAUAAGUGGGAAAGAUAGAUUGUCCUGUUGAAAAGAGGUAUAAAAAUGCAUAAGCUCAAAACAAGACUAUAUUCACUAUCAGCAAUAUGCAACUGAAUAAACAAAACUGUAGCAAGGGAUAGAUAGACUAGAGGAAAAGAAAAAGCAUGGAAUUUUUGAAAUAAUAGAGAAGAAAAUCAAGCAAAAUAUUAUUCUUACUCACCAUAACCCUGUAAGGGUGAUUGCUCUUAUGAGGAUGCACCUCAACGCCAACAGAGAAGCACUCUAUACAUAGGUCAAAAUCAGGACAAACUGCACACUUAAUACGGAUCUUCCCUGUAAUGUCUUUGUUGCAAUAAUUGCAGUGGUAUAAAGCCCUUUUCCCUUCACCUGCUCCUUGACCUGGCUUCAACAUUAUUGGAUGGGAAAAUGUCAUAAAAUUUUAAAUGAAUAAAUAAAAAGAAAAUUAUCCCCGUCACAUUUACAUAUAGAAAGGAUGAAAGCACUUAAGCAACCACAGGUACAACAUAUUCAACCGACUUCAAUCAAUAAUAGGGAUAAGUAUUGGAGUUUAGUGGGUAAUUAUUCUCAUCCCCAUCCAAACCGUUUAAGAAAGAACCACAGGUAUAACAAUUAUCUCAUAGAAUGCGUGAGCGUUGCCACUUUGAGAUAACUCACGAACAUUGCCACUUAAAGAGAGAACUCCAACUCAAUUCAGUGAUCCCAGCCAGGAGAUUUCAUUUCGCAAUGAAAUGAUAGUAGUAAUUGGUAAAGUACCUGGAGCUGCAGUAUCUGAAUUGUCACUGGAGACAUUCUUCUUUCUCCUUGACCUGCAUGAACAAAAUGAGCAUCAGAUAAAAGCUUCAUAAUCAUGCCACAGAUAACUUAUAAGAAAUGAUUCUGGAGUGUGGUUCUGGAGGAAUAUUACUAUGCUGGAGACAAGAAGUUAUAACGGUAGAACAAAAUCAAUGAAGCAUAAUUAUGAAAGUUGGAAUAAUUUUUUUUUUCUUUAAAAAUAACCCAAACUAUUUAUCUAUUAAAUAAAAAUGCAUAAGAAGCACAUUGUCAUUGUACUUCAUAGUUCCAGUAACAGUAGAAACAAGAACAGUAAAAAUAAAGAAAAAUAAUAAUAAUAAUAACAAUUAAUCCCAUAAAUUUCAGAUGCACAACAUAAAAGCUAGUCAGUCACGAAAAGCAGAAUUUUCAAAAUUAUUGAAAACCAAAAAAACAAAAAUUAAGUUCUACAGUCACAAUAUAGACUUGAGUAGAAGCACUUCUACUUCAAAGCAUUCAGGAUUAUAUAUAAAUUAAUAAUCAGCUAAGGAAAAGGCAACAGUUCCAAACACAGAGAACCAACACCAAAUGAAGAGGAAAACAAAACAAAGACUGUAACAUUAAGGAAAUCAAUUUUGUGAAAAAAGAGAGCGAACCUUUGAGUGGGGUCUUCAUCAUUAGCGUGAAAGUUCCCACGAGAACGACCCAUAUUUUUCUCAAAGUUGAGUGAGCUUACGAUUACGAGCGCCUGUUUAGAAGCAAAUGUUAGAAUUUCUUGAAAUGCAACGACAAGAACAACCGACAGACUGACUGGCAUUUAUUUAUUGACUCAGAAGAAACAAAAACAAAGAUUUUGAGUAAAACAGAACCCUAAAUUUCUCAGAUAAGUACGAAAAGUUUCUGGCUCCGAAUAUUGGGGAUAAUGGGGUUUCCUAAUUUUGGAUGAAAAUUAAUGGGCUUACUUCAAAAUCCAAAUUUCUGAGAUUUUUCCAAGGGUUUGGGUUGCAACGACGGGAAGUAACAGGGGCUGUAAACUGUUAUUUGUCAAACUACUGAAGUGUCGUGUCAUUGACAAAUGCGCCAAAUGGUAAUAAAGCUGCAGGUCAACUGUGUUUGGAUUCUCAGUUUAGUGUGACACAUUGUAAUUUGUAUGUGUGUGUUUGUUCGGAAAGGAAAUUAAUGGUGCCCAGCCGAGAAGAUUUUGCACUUUUUUUUUUUCUUUUUUUCUGGGUUUACCUCAAUGGAAACUGUGGAAAUUAAUAAAAGUAAUUAGUAAAUUCGUUUUUCUUUUUAAGCAUAAAAAAUUAAUUAGAGAACAGUAACAUAUGGCUUCAGUCAGUGACUUGACUCGUUACAGUAUGUGUUCAAUUUAUAAACCAUUUAGAGAAAGGAAGUGUCAUGACUUUGAAGGAAAUUUCUGUAAUUCUUUGUGUGGACGCCCGAUACCAAAACAAAAAUAGAGAGGUGAACAUAUUUAUUUAUUUAAAAAAAAAAAAAGAAUAUAAAGAAUUUUGAAUUUCUUCGCACUUCAAAUUCAUUUCAAGGAUGAAUCUGGGUUUGGGCUAUGACCCAAAAGAAAGCCUAAAAAAGAAGUUAAAUGGGCCCAAAGGAUACAACAUGCAUACGACUCGCAGCCACGUAGCCAGGUGUGGGUGGUAGUACGUGAAGUAGCAGUUUGAUGUUGAAGUUAUUUUUAACUUGACGUGAUGGUAUUGUUACUGGGGGCGAAGCAAGAGAGAAAAAUGUGAGAUAAGAGUGAUUCCUAUGUGGUAACAGAGCAAGUAUAUAUCUAUAUGCAUAUAUACACUGAUCUUUCAUUAUAAUCUACAAUUUCUUCCAAGAAAAUGAGUUCAAUAUGAAUAACGUACAAUGUGUUUUUUUUUGGUGAACUAAAUAAGAUUUGGAAAAUUGACAAAUUGUACUAAAUCAAAAUACUAACAAAUAGUACUUAGAAAUUAUGUAGAUAAUUGAAGAAAAUUAUAGGGAGAUCUUCAGUAUAAUUUUAUAGUAUUAUCGUUGUUUUGAAAUAGAUCAUGACUAAAAUUAUAUAAAUUAUAUCAAUGAAAAUUAAAAUAAAAAAUCUAAGGAUCAAAAAUAAGAAAAAAUAUAUUUUUCCAUGUCAAUAAAAAAUUAAUAAUAAGAUAUAUAUAUUUUUUUAUUUUUCUUAUGAUAAAUAUGCAUUUUAUAUUUUCAAGAUAAAUAAUUGAGUAAAUGACCUACUUACUCCUCUUUUCCUUUAAAUUUUUGGUAUUAAAGGAAUUUGCGGAUUUUUAAAGACUAUAAAGAAAAUAAAUGGUAUAUAUUAAUUUUAACAAGAAAAAAUUAACUAUGUUCCAAAAUCAAUAACAGGUAUUUUUUUUAAUCUCUGUUAGUUUUAGUAUGUUUUUCUCCUUUAAAAACAUAGGAAAAAGAAAAGAAAUCAUAGUGGCGGAUAUUAUCAGUGCCGAUAUUAGGUUUGGCAUGGCAUGGCAUGCAUUGAAGCCGAAACACGUUGUUGAUAAUGACAACAAAAAGAUUGAGUGGAAAAGGAAAAUUAAUUGCAAAUGCAACGAAGCCUAAUUAAUGCAUUCAUUAAUCACAACAUGAUGCGAACGUACUUCCUUCAAAUAAAAUAAACCAUGAUUAAUUCUUCAGGGCUCAAUGCACGUCACCACUCACAACUACUUAAUUAUUAACUAUUUGGCUAGUAACUCCAAAAUUGUACCUCUCAUCAAUUUCUGUUGUAAUUAAUUUCAUUCAUUCAAUCUCAAUUAUGGCAGUUUUAUUUUUUUUUGCUUUUGAGUGCUUUUGUAAUUGAGGUAUUGUAAUUUUUAAGGUAUAAUUAUUAUAGAAAAAAAUUGUUAUUAUGAAAUAAAAGUUCCUAACAUAUAUUAAAUGUAAAUUUUAAAUAAUAAUUUUGAUAAAAUAUUAAAGAUAUAAUAGAUUUUUCAUUAUACAAGUGAAAAAUCAUAUCAACAUAACUUCCAAACUACAGCAGUUAGUGUUUAUCAAAUACUUUAUUACUGUAACUUUUAAACUAUAACUGCCAAACCAAUGAUUCAUAUAUAUAUAUAUGUGUGUGUGUGUGUGUGUGUGUCAUAUCAACAUAACUUAUAAACUACAAUAGUUAGUGUUUAUCAAAUACUUUAUUACUGUAACUUUUAAACUAUAACUGCCAAACCAAUGAUUCAUAUAUAUAUAUAUGUGUGUGUGUGUGUGUGUGUGUCAUAUCAACAUAACUUAUAAACUACAAUAGUUAGUGUUUAUCAAAUACUUUAUUACUGUAACUUUUAAACUAUAACUGCCAAACCAAUGAUUCAUAUAUAUAUAUAUGUGUGUGUGUGUGUGUGUGUGUCAUAUCAACAUAACUUAUAAACUACAAUAGUUAGUGUUUAUCAAAUACUUUAUUACUGUAACUUUUAAACUAUAACUGCCAAACCAAUGAUUCAUAUAUAUAUAUAUGUGUGUGUGUGUGUGUGUGUGUGUUGGGAAGCGAGGUGAAUCGAUUGUUCAGGGUGUACGGACUGUUUUGGUUUUUAUGGAGUGAAGGAAGAGCGAGACGCUGGUGUAUAUGGUGAGAAGUUUGACUCCAGAUGCUGAAAGCUCUAAAAAUCACAUUAAACCUGCAAAACAACGAGAAAGAGGUCAAAGGUAGAGUCGGGAGUAGCUGGUGACUACACUCCAAUGUUCAAGUCAGAGUUGGGUUAUCUCAGGUUAGAGAGCUUGCAAGCUCUUAGUAAUGGAGGUUGGAGGUUGAAGAAACCUCAGCUCUUGUGGUGUGUGAGUUGACUCUUAUGACUAAAAUGUGUGAGUUGACUCUUAUGACUAAAAUAAAACCUGAGUAUUUUAUAUGUUGUACCUCGGCUGCCGUGCCACCUAGUGUUAUUUUAUUGGUGUUCUUUAUUGUCAUGUCAUAUAUAUUUUUAUCCUUCACACGUGUCACUACUUGGGUAUUUCAAAAUAUGCUUAGAGAAUAAGUUUGAGGCGUAUUCAUGUGUUAAGUGUAGAGGGGUGGUCCUGCGUACAUCUGCUAAAGUUGUUAAGGAUUUACAGGUGUGGUAGGAGAGGACAUGUGAUCUCAGCUGUCUUGAUAAUAACUUUUUGGCUGUUUUGUAGGCAUGACAGGUCGUUGUCUCCUCCUUUUCAGCACAUGCAAUAGUUCCUCAUUAAUUCUUUUAUCCAAUCAUUUUUGAGAUUAUGUCUCUUUCAUCCAUUGACACUUUUUAAAAUAUUUUUAUGACAUUUUUACCUUUGCUCGGCAUACUCCGGGUACCCCACAUAACACUUGGAGUACCCGGUGUAGGCCAACAUUCUUAUCAUGACUUUAACUACAAAACUGCAUAUCGACACGUGGCACAUUUCUUUGGACUUCUACCUUUCCCCAAAAAUAUAUAUAUAUAUACACACACACACUAGGUACGUGCAUUUGGAAGUGAUGAAACUCGUUGAGGUUUGAUGAUCAUGUGUUAUCUACUCGAUCGCAGGAUUACGGCUUCGGUAAAUCCGUGAAGCUCUCAGUUGACGCGCCUUGAAUUGUCGUUUAAUUUUAAAAAUUUCUCAUCAAACAAAUUAAUUUCAUCGAUUAUGGCGGGCAUUAUUCUAUAUUAUCAUUUAAAAGAUGGUUGGGACAUGGCAAUCGCAUCACCUAGUGAGCUUACUUUUAAGAUAUAGGAAAUGUUCCUUUGCAAUAUUACAAUUUACAACAAGCUGCCGCAUUCGAGAAUCUUCCUCUUCUUAUUAUUAUUCUUUAUUGUUAGUUUACAUAAUAUAUUCAGUGACUCGUGGAUAUUCCAGUCUCUACUCUUGAUAUCAGAGAUUUGGAUUCAUGUUAAUGUUAUGGAUUGAUUGAUACAUUUGGAAACAUGUAACUGGUAGUUAUGUAUAUUUAAAUAAAAAUGAGUAAUAUUAUAACUCUAAAAGUUUAUAAAUUAACGUAACAUAAUCCGAUUAGUUGAAUUAAAAUAUAAAAUAAUAUAAAUAAAUCAUGUGAGGGGAGCAAUGUUUUCAUUCAAUUAUUUUUUUUUUCCGGUACAUUAACUAUGUAUGUUAUACCGCAACCAUUUGAACAAAACCAUCAUUUAUACAAAGGAGUUUGUUGUUGUACGGUGACUCGAUAAGAAUAUAGAGUUAAUGUGUAAAAUUAUAGCCUUGAACCCUUACACCAGCUCUUUUUAUGUAAACCCAUCAGGCAUAAUGUGAUACAUAACUUUUAUUAUUUUACACGCUGAAGAUUAUGAACAAAAAAGUACAAAACGCAAAUAAAAUUGCUUAGUUUAUAUCACAACAAUUCUGACAAACUAUAGGGCAUACAUACUUUAUAGCACACCUCUUUUGACCUUUGUAAAACAUUAAGAAAGUAUAAGUACCCGCUUCUUGACUCAGAAGAUUACUAAGCUAUUUAUUUAUUCUACUCCAUCUCUCCUAAAGUUUAUUUCUUCAAUAGUGAUGGAGCAACAAUUUGAUUACUUCACUGUUACUAGUCUCCUUGUCUUUUUAACGUUCCUGUUAAGAUUGGUGUGGGGAUGGAAAAAAUCGAGUGAUAAAAUCAAAAUCAGAUUGCCUCCAGGGCCUUCAAAGCUGCCAAUUAUUGGAAGCCUACAUCACUUGAUCGGGCUCGAUGUUGAUUUGCCCUACUAUGCACUUACAGAUUUGGCCAACAAAUAUGGACCUUUGAUGCAUCUGCAACUGGGAAAAAUGUCCCUAGUCGUCGCGUCGUCAGCUAAAAUGUUUAAAGAGCUGAUGAAGGAGAAUGAUCUAGCCAUUUCGCAAAGGCCAGUGCCAUACGUUGCCAGAGUCCUGGAAGAUGCUGGAAGAGACAUUGCCUUUGUUCCCUAUGGUGAUUACUGGAGACAAAUUCGGAAAAUAAGCAGAAUGGAGCUGUUCAGUGUCAAGAAAGUCCAGUCAUUGCAUUAUAUUCGUGAAGAUCAAUCCAGCAAGCUUGUUGAAUCCAUUAGGGGUCAUGCAGGAACAGUAAUGAAUCUGAGCAAAGCAGUAUCCGACUACACGAGUACUGUUGUUGCAAGAGCAGCUUUUGGUAGCGGAUGUAAAGACCAAGAUAAGUUUAUAAGGCUAUCCCUAGAAAUGGUUGCGGCAGCAGGAGCCGUCAGUACUUUGCCAGAUAUGUUUCCUGCUCUAGGGUUUAUUCCUAUACUCAGCGGGAAGAAAGCCUUUUUGAAGAGCAUUCAAACGGAAGCUGACAAGAUCCUCGACGUCAUUAUUGAUGAGCAUAUUCAGAAAACCAAGAGCAAUGAAUAUGACGGAAAGGAAUCAGACAAGGAAGACAUAGUUGAUGUUCUCCUAAGACUUGAGAAAUCUGGCGAACUUGAAAUCCCUAUUACUACCCAAGACAUCAAAGCUGUCAUCUGGGUAAGAUUAUAUGUCUGCCUUUGAUUUUGUCGAUUUUUUUCCCUUUUUGGGGGCAUAUUUGGAUUGACCUGUGUGCAGCAGUUAGCUUCUAAUUCACUGUUUGUUAUUGAUGGAAUAAAAUCAGUAACAGUCAAGUAAUUAAAAAUAUUUUAUUAAACAAUUAGGUUGCUGUGCUUCCGAAAUUAAGCGGAAGCAAAACAAUCACCAGCUAGUACUUGUAGAUUUUAUAUUCGUGUGUUGUCUUUCAUUGCUUAUCCUUUUUUUUAAAAAAAUAAAACAUUAUAUGUGCGAUGCAUGUUGUUAUCAUCUGCAGAGUGUAUUUGCUGGUGGAACGGACACUUCAUCAACUACAACAUUAUGGACUAUGUCGGAGUUGAUGAGAAAUCCUAAAGUGAUGGAGAAGGUACAAGCUGAGAUAAGAGAAAAGCUCAAGGGGAAGAAAGAAAUCUAUGAGUCAGAUAUUCAGGAUUUACACUAUAUGAGGGCAGUCAUCAAAGAAGCUCUAAGACUAAGGAUUCCAGGUCCCUUAUUGCUCCCAAGAGAAACCAUGGAGCCAAUUGAGGUUGAUGGUUACGUAAUUCCAGAAAGAACCAAAAUACUUUUCAAUGCUUGGGCAGUAACAAGAGAUCCCCAACUUUGGGAGAAUCCUGAGAGCUUUAUUCCAGAAAGGUUCAUAGAAAAUCCCCUGGAUUACAAGGGAACUAACUAUGAAUUCACACCAUUUGGAUCAGGAAGAAGGAUUUGUCCAGGCAUGAAUUUUGGUAUAGCCAAUGUAGAGCUUCCAUUGGCUAAACUACUCUACUUCUUUAAUUGGCAGCUCCCUCCUGGGAUGCAACCACAUGAACUUGAUAUGACUGCAAAAUUUGGUGUGGUUUGCGGUAGAAAGAAUGACUUGUUUCUGAUUCCUACUCCUUACAAUAAUAUUCCGUGAGGGAUGCAAUGACUUUGUUGUAAGAUAUAUUGUGCGGCCACAUGAUACCAAUUUAUGAUAUAAUGGGUGUAAUAAAUACAAAAGAAAGUGGAUCAAUCAAAAUCCUGUUUGUGAAAAUGUACUGUUGAGUCCACUUAGAAGAAGAGAAGGAGAACUAAGGAUUGCAUGCAUUCUUGUAUUUUUUUUUAAUCUCUUUUUAUAUAAUUUUUUUUUCACUUUUUUAAAGGGCAAACCCGAUGAAUUUGAACCGGAAUAAAAAUUAAUUGGUUUUUAAAUUUAAACCUAUUCAAGGUUUAAGGGUUAAAUCAUACUAAAGCAAAUCCAAUAUUUAUUUUAAAUUUGAUUUGAUUCAAUUCGAUUUAACCUACUCUGAAUACCCACCUUACUUUUCAAAUUUCCAACCGCGCUUAUUUUUUCGGUUAAAUAUCUUUGUCGUCCUUCUUUGAGUCAUUUCCUCAAUUAGUUUUUGUGCUUUUGAUGAUGAUGAUGAUGAUGAUGAUUAUUAUUAUUAUUAUUAUUAUUAUUAUUAUUAUUAUUAUUAUUAUUAUUACUCUUAAGAAGAUAGGGGAUUGUGCAAAACCCAAAUCAUUUCUUUAGUCCUGACCUCUCCUAAAAUUUGAACUCGGUGGCUUAUCAGAUAAAACCACUCAGUCAAGCACUCUUAGGGGCAUCCCUUUGUAAUUGGAUUUAACUUUUCAAGGGGUCAAUAAUAUUUGUCUGAUAUAAUUUCUAAAACUCAAACAAGUAAGACAUGUAACAAUUAAAAAUAAUAAUAAUGAUGAGGCAAAUAUAUAACAAGGACUUUUAGGUAAUUUAAAAAACUAAACAAAUAAUUAACUCAAACAAUAAGUACUAUGAGAAUUUACCCUAAUGUUUACGGUAUAAAAUUAUUAUUUUUUGAUAUUAAUCACGAGGUAUCCUGGGGAGGGCCCCAACUGUGAGAGACACAUUUAAGCCCGUACCACAACCCAGAUUAGUAGUGCCCGCUUGAACCGGGAGGCAUAUGUUCUCCCAACAAAGGCGACUUCCCUGCGACUCGAACUGGGGAGCAAACCCAGUCAAGCCAUUUAAGGGGACUCCAUUGCCAGUAGAGCCAACACUUUGUUGGUUUUACGGUAUAAAAUUAUGAAUCAUCUUCACCUAACAAAAAAUUAACAGGAAGGGUUGAAAUCCAAAAACAAUGCAAUAGGAUGACGUUGACCAAUCAUGUAAUGGGAUCCAAUUAUCCAAACCCAUGCUUCAGUUGGGCCUAUGCCGAAAAAGGCCUGGGUCGAGCGGAUGAUCCGACCACGGGGUUGAAUUCUUGAGUUGAUAGUGAAAAGGACAAUUUGUUAAAGAGUAUUUUUUAUUCAAAAUAAAAAACAAAAAGGAGAGGGGCAGUCGGAAAAAAAGAAAAAAAAAUGACAAUGCCGCGGCCAAACCAAAAUUUGAAUUCAGAUUUCGGACAGCGCCUCUGCGCUCGGAGGCCACGUCACAUAAAACCAAAACCCCAAAUUCAAAAAUCACAGACAAGACAUCAUCACUCAUCACAAUCACAAAGACAAAACCUUCAAUCAAAUCUUCUUCUUCUUCUUGUUCAAUUCUCUAGGCUAAAGUGAAGCAAGAAGAGGAACCCUGCAAAAAUGGCAACAAGAUACAAUUCAUACGAUUCGCGCUCAUCAACAUCCUCGUACUUGUCAGAUCCAGCUUCUUCCAGUAUCGAACUUAAGCCCCAGAAUCAACCCACUUCAUCUUCACGCGCAAUCAUCAAAUCAAAACCCUCAACGGCAGCCACAAAGACUAAUAAGAACAGUAAUACAAAUUUGGCCAACAUGGUGAAGAAGUUUAUGGAGAAAAAAUCAUCAUCAUCGAGUCGGGCGGUGGGGCUGGUGAUACCGUCGGACGUGAUAGCGGAGGAUCUGAAGAAAACGGCGAGAAAGGGCGGCAAUUUUGGUGGGUUGCAGAGGAAGUUGUUUGGAGGUAAAAUUGAGAACGAGAAGAAAUCGGAAGUGAAAGCGUUGCCGUUGAGGGAAGUCAAGGGAGGCGGCGGUAAUAAUAAUGUGAAUGCGAGGACUUUGGCGAUGGUGUUGAGAAGUGAAAGAGAGCUUUUGAAUGCUAAUAAGGAGCAAGGCAUUGAGAUUUCUCAGCUUAAAAUGUUGCUUCAAGAAAAGAACAAUGAAGUGAGUUAUAUAUAUAACAUUAGUUGAGUCCCCCAUCCUUAAUUUUUCUUGAUUUUGCUUGUUUAAUUUCUAAUCGCCAGUCUAGAGAUGCAGCCAAUCAAAAUCAUUUAUAUAUAUUUAUAUAUGCGGCUUGCAGGUUGAGAAGCUGAAAAACUUGUGCUUAAAGCAGAGGGAAGAAAUUAAGGCACUAAAGAGUGCAACAUUGUUCCCAGAUCAUGCUACGGAUUCUCACCUUCAAGGGCUUCUAGAAAAGCAGGGUUCUGAGCUGAAACAAGUCAUUCCGUCUCUCCAAAGGCAGGUUACCUCUCUCACUGGGCACCUUCAGAGCCUUGCUCAAGAUCUUGCUGAGGUAUUCUACCUGUCGUCUAUUCUGUUUCUAUAUAUGAUGAAUGAUAAUUCAUCUUUCAUCUACUCUAAACUGACCAUCAGGAGACCUUUCAAUUUUGCUGGCUGAUUUGUUUAAGCUGCAGGUAAAAGCAGAAAAAUAUUCAGCCAGGACUGGUAUGAUCAUGCGUCAUGGAACCUGCCCCAGGACACCGUCUUAUGAUCACGAAGAGCCUGCUAAUUCUUUGGUAUUAUUUUAAAAUUUUUCCUUGGAUCCAUGUCGUCCCGAAGCCAAGCCACCGAUAUUCUAUCGUUGAUGAGAUUUUCAAUUAAUAGUUUGCUCAAAAUUUAUGCAGGAAUUCAGCUCGGAGGAUGUAACAACCCCUGGCAGUCCUGACGACUUGUUUCUCAAGGAUUUGAAUCCUUGUCUAACACCAUUUAGUGUCAAAAAAAAGACUACCAAGGUAAUUAAGCGGGCAAUUCUUCUUUGCUAUUUCUUUAUUAUCUAUCAAUGAGAGUGAGAGAUUGAGAUGGAGAGUGCCUACUAUUUUCUUAGAGCAUAUCUGUUUCCCAGAAUCACAAUAAUCAGUUAAGAGUGAAUGGUAUCUUGUGCUUGUAGGAAUUCGAGGCGUCGAGCUAUGAUUCUCCUGAACUUGAUGAUGAAAGCUUUUGCAUGAACAGCGUGGAAACGGGCAGUGAGUUUGGAUUCAGUUCUCAUUCUCAUAGCAGAAAACUUUACAAAAGUUCUGAUUGUUACCAGAACUCCAACGCAGGCAGCAGAAUUGCCCGACCAAUUCGGAAGUCAGAUGAAAGUAAACGCACAUAUGGGAAGCAAAUGCUGCAUAAAGUCCUUUAAUUGGUCUGUCAGUCGUUUGGAUUCUUAAGCAUUUCUUUUACGCCCUGUUGUCUUUUGUCAACCUACUUCUGGUUUUACAUCAAUAUCCAGAAGUCAAAAUUCAGAGUCAUGGCAAUAGCUCCCCGCUGUAUUGAUGUUAUAUGGUGCUCUUCAACCAAUUCCACACAAAUAAAGAGUUCAAACUCGAUGAUACAGAUACAUGUAAGUUGGAUGCAGUGUAUUAUGGAAUGUGCUCAAUGGAGCCAUUAUUGCUGUCAAUGAAAAGCGGAGUCUGACAAUAUUAUUAGUAGCUUGCUUUCCAUGUAGUUGAUAUGUGUUCCAUACAGUUCAAACUGUCCUACGUACUUCAUAAUUGACAGUUUUUUUUUUUUUUUUUCUAAUCUUGGCUUUAAUGGCAUCAAAUUAAUCUUUAUGGUCUUUAACUCAUUAAAAAAAAAGGAAGCAGCCCACAAAACAGUGUCCCCAACACAGCAUAAGGAAUUUGCAGGGCAAGACGUCAAAAACUGGAAAAGAUUUAUUGAAGUGCAGAUUUUAUUAUACGUACUGAACAAGUGAUGAGUAUCUUCUAUCAUCACUCUUAAACAUGCAGAUUCACAUGAUAUCUUAUUAUGCCGUUAUUUGGGGACUUGUCAAGCUCUUCAACUUCAAGCCAUGCCCCGACUAGUAGCUGUCCUGAUAAUCUGAAAAAGAGCUGCCGGCCAAUAAAGGGGGAAAUGAAUUAGGUUAUUGGAAGCACAACUGCAAAAGCCAGAAGAGAUAAAAAAUUAAAAAAAAAAAAAAAAGGAUAACAGGAACAAUAACAUACAUGAUCCUAAAACUACGAAGACAAAGAAGCCAAGCAGAAUUGGGCCAAUGGGGUAAUCAGAUCCUUUCUUUGCGGAGCUUUCAGGAACUGAUCCCCUCCUUGUGACGUUCUUCUGGAACCUUGCAUUUUUCCUCUCUGCAAGCCGCUUCGAUGUAGUCUGUCCGAACAACCCAAAUAAGAAAACAAAACACGUAUGACAAAUCCUAUUGGAAAUGGCCAGUAAUUAUUAUAACGCAAUCAACAUGCUAAUAAAUUUUUCUCAUCUCAUCUGUCAGUCCCAUCAAAAUUUUCCCAAGAUAAUAAUAUGAAAACUGAUUAUAAGACAGAUCAAAAGUUCAAAACAAAAAGAGACCAUGAACAGCUCAAUCGACAUCAACAAGAUGCAAAGAGAUCAAUCCUAACUGCAGAAUUAUCCAUUAAAACUCUGUCACACGGAAACAAAAAUUCGCAUAACGUGAAAGAUCAAAAAGAACAGAUUAACCAAGAAAAGGUAUAUAUGUAUUGAAAAGAAAAAAAUUGCCGCCUUGAAUGAAUAAAAAGAAUUGGUAACAGUAAUUCAUACGAGAAAGAGAGAGAGGAAUGCUUUUAUAAGAAAUUUACCAUCUUUCCCUAUUGCUUUGCCAGGUAAAGGUUACGAAGAUGAAAGCCGUAAAUGUUGCCGUUUCUUUUUUUCUUUUCUUUUUCCACCUAUUUUCCCAGUAUCACCAAAGACAAAGAGAAGGUUUUAGUUUUCAUAAGCGGAAACAUGGGGCUUCUGUCCUGGUUUUAUUAUAUACCUUGUAACCACGUGUCCGCAACUAAACGCUUUCUUUUCUUGCGAUUUUGUUUGCUUUAGCUUAGUGUCUAAGAUUGGCAUUUUUAGUCCAUCAAAAGGAAGGCCGUAAAUUCAGUAUCUCACUGAAAAUUUUCCCAAAUCACCAGAUUUAUUUCCUUAUAUUUUUCCAGAAGCUCUUCAAGUGACACCCGUAACAAAUGAGUGAAAAAAUAAAACUUCAAAUUCAUGUAUAAAUUUAUCUUAUAGGAUUAUUUUACGAUGCCAUGAUUUUAUCAUGUUUAAAUAUGAAUCAAAUCUUCUAAAGAUAAAAGGAGGGGUGCAACGCGAGACUUUCCCAAGAAGUCACACAUUAUAAUACUGCUCUCUCCCAAACACGCUUAAUUAAACAUGAAUUAUGUAAAUAAAAUAUAAGAUAUGCAAAUUUAAAAAAAAUUGUAAAUUAAUAUUAAUUAUAAAAUAAAACAUUAAUUAUAUGAAAUGAAACAAAAUACUUGUAAAUAAAAGAUUAAAUAGGUAAAUUAAUAUAAGAGUUGUAAAUUGAUGUAUUACUAGUAAAUAGAAUAAAAACUUACAAAUUCAACAUAAAACUUAUAAAUCAACAAUAAAUGUACUAUAAAACAUUAAUUAAAUGAAACAUAAGACUUAUAAAGUGAGGGUAAAACAAGUAAAUUAACAUAGGAAUAGUCAAUUUGUGUAUUAUUGAGAAAACUUUAUAAAUGUAGUAUAAAACUUGUAAAUCAACAUCAAUUAUAAAAUAAAAUAUAAAUUAUGCAAAUAAAACACAGUGCUUGUAAAUGAAGGAUAAAAUAAGUAAAUUAACAUAGAAGCAGUAAAUUGAUCUAUUAUUACUAAACAAAACAAAAAUUAUAAGUGUAACAUAAAAUAGUAAAUCAAUAUUAAGUGUAAAAUAAAACAUCAAUUGAGUAAAUGAAACAUAAGACUUUUAAAUGGGUAGGGCAAGUAAAUUAAUAUAUAGGAGUGAUAAAUUAGAGUUUUAUUGGUAAACAAAAUAAAAACUUAUAGAUGUAACAUAAAACUUAUAAAUCAUUAUUAAAUGUAGAAUAGAACAUAAACUAUGUAAAUAAAAUAUAAGACUUCUAAAUGAAAGAUAAAACAACUAAAUUAAUAUAAGAGUUAGUAAAAAAAAGUAAUAAAAACUUAUUAUAAUAAUGAUUAUCUUAUAUAUUUUAGUACCUACUCAAUGACAACCCCAAAUGAUCUUUAAUUAAAAACAAGAAGUAAAAUUAAAAACCACAUAAAAUAUAUAUAAAACUUAAAAUUAGAUCCAAUUUUAUUGAUAUAUCAAAUAUGUCAAAUAUUCUAAGAAUAUAUUUUAAUUUUUUUUGUCUUAUUCCACAUCAAGAAAAAGAAAAUGUUUGUUUUCUUUGUCCUACAAUAGAAAAUGAAAAUAAAUUUAAGAAUGUGCUAAAAUAGAUAUAGAAUUUAUGGUUAAAUUAAUUCAAUAAAAUCUAUUUCAAUUGUUUUUAAUACAAUUUUUCUGUUUUAAGUUAAUGAGUGACUUUUUUCUUUGUUUAAUUAGAUUAAAUGAAUAAACUAUUUUUUGUUUAAUGAAAUUUAAUAUUAAUUUACAAUAAGUUUUAUAUUAUUUUUACAAGUAUUUGCUUUAUUAACAAAUUUAAAAUAUCAAUUUACAACUCUUAUAUUAAUUUACUUAUUUUACAUCUUAUUUACUAAUUUUAUAUAUAUAAUUUACAAAAUUUAUAUUAAUCAUCAUACUAAUGCCGUAAUUUUAAAUUUUUAAUCACGACAACAUAAAAUUUUUCUUAUUUUAUAUAAAUUGAUAUGAUAAUAUCCAACUGAUUAAAUUAAAUGAUUCUAUCAUCACUUAACAGAUAAUUAUAGACAAAUUACAUCCUUCUUAACAGCAAUCUUAAAUGGAUAUCUGAGUACCAAACGCCUGCGACUAGAUUCAUUGAUCAAACAGACCCUGCAUACACUGUUAUCCUUAAUUUAGCAGUCUUGAGCAGUUUGAGAGCUCAUCACUCAUCAGAUAAAAGUUAAAACCCAAAUCACAUUUAUACAUGAUCCACUUCACCCAAAAAAGUCCAUUUUAGCUUGACCAUGUACAUUUCCCUCAUCAAUCAUCACAGUAAAACAUACAAGGAUUCUCCAAUCUCCAACACCGGGUCAGAGUUGGCACAAACAAGGACAAUUAUUUUGUUUCCAGGUCAAGCACAACAAUCCCCCAAAAAUCCAAUUAUACAUAACAAAAAUGAGAGUAUCAGGUUCCAAAAUAAAUGCUAUGUACAUGAGCAAAGGGAACCUUAUUCGGACUGUUCAACUAAGAAAAAAUGACACAAGGAAAUGAAAUUAAGUGCCAUGACGCAUCAGUGUCUAACUCAAUGCUUUCUUCUAUAUGUAACAUUUCUAAUACAGAGUAUGUACAUGAGUGAAAACCUUUGAAGUAAAUAAAUAUAUGUUUACCCUAUCAAAAUUGGACUCCCCUGCAAAUGCAAUCCCAUGAUUGACAAAAAAUGGCCAGCAUCGCUGUGGUGCCAUGUCUGAAAUUGCCAAAACAACUUGGAGACGGCAUGGGGCACAAGAAGAGAGUUCUAUAGUUCCAAAUUUGUAUACGAUCAAGUGUUGGGAUGGUAAAUGCUUUCACCAAUUAUGCAACUGAGCAGUGAUACUUUUCACUACAGGAUGGUAUUCUGUGUGCACGUGCUUUUUAGCUUUCUCUGAACCAGGUUGCUCAAGCCACUCAUCAUACAAGCUUCUCACCAGAGGAUUUUUGAAAGGAUCAGCUAGCAUUACCUAUUAUAUAUAAAAGAGCAAUCAGUUAAUAACACAGCACCACACCAGAGGUCAAAUUACAUGCAGAUCUCACAAUAAUAUUCCAUAAAUGGAUCUGAUAUGCAAGGUCAUAAAAAAUCAAUAACAGCAUUACAUGCUUGUAGCAUAUAUAUUGACUGCCAAAAAGUUUCCAACCACAUCACUUGAAUGGUAAAUAAUCUUGUACACUGUCAAGUACACCAGGCCUGCAGGCCAGCAAAAAAUCCACUAACACAUACUGGUAGGCAUAUUCCUACUAUAGACCUCAUUUUGGAUAACUAGUAGUAUAGUCAUUGAGGUAAUGAUUGUGGCAAUUUCAUGACCCAACCUGGACCCUUGCGUGGCACCCAUGCGAUCAAGAAACUUAUAGUUCGUGGUACUAUGAAUUAACUAGAAUACACCAAAAAUUAACCGUGGCUUUGUAGUUUUGAAAAUGAAGAGACCCAGAACACCACGAGGCAUAAAGAAUAUGUCAAUGCUAAUAGAAGAACGACUUACAUUUUCCAAAUAGAUGGUUUCCAGUGUCUUAAUCAACUCCUUCGGUGAUUGCCCUGGCUUAGGCUUGAUCUGACCUCCACCAUUCAAGCAACCUGUUAAUCAAUAGCUCAGGAGUUAAUAUCCACCAAUUUUUUAUUUGACAUAGAAAGCAAACAGCCACAUUCUACGUCAAUGAAUAAAAACUAAAAAGGAAGAUUGACCUGAAGGGCAUGCCAUGACCUCCACAAAUUGAUAAUCGCAUUUUCGCAUUUUCACUUUCCUGACAAUGUUUUGCAGGUUCUGGAAGCCAUAACAUAGGGCAAAUUUCAACAACGUUUUUCCCUCCACCUACAUAACGAGAUGGAGCACAAUGUCAUAACCAAAAUGACAUGCAGUACAUGGUAUGCCCUAGAUAUUUUCAAUCCUAUGGAAUAACAACACUGCAACGAUGUUCAUUACAAAACCGAAGAUUCCAGGACAAGCUUCUCACAUGCCUAUAAGAUGUGAUCAAAAUUAAAAAGGAAGCUUACUUCCAGAGCCACCUCUCGGAAAUCAGAGUUUCUGAUGGUUUUAAAUUCUAGAUGACCUUCAAUAACUUUUCCAAAUAGUGUUUUAGCAGCAUGUCUGAAUACUGUUUCUGCAUAACCUCCAGAACUUCCAGCAACCCCAUAAAGAUGUCCUUCAUCAUCAACAUUGGUCAACCUGCAGGAUGACCAAAGCAGAUUCUAUUUUAGUUGGCUACUCUUAACCAUCAUGCAGAUGGCUUCAUAAAAAAGUUAUUCUAAUUCUUACAUUUUAUCAAGAGGAGAUUCCUCUAAUGCUUCAAAAUUUACAGCUUUUAACUGCAUAAAUUGAAAUAAAGUAGUACAAAGUUAGACAUCAUUAUUGUUUCAAACCAGAAAGAAACUGUUUACAGUGAAAGCAGUUAUACAAGUUAGUACCAAUGAAAGCCUCAUCUCACCUGUAUCAAAUCUAAAACUUCCCCAGUCGUCAGGACUGAAUCAACCUCUGGAAUCUCAAGUCCUUCAUCCCUAUAGGUUUCUUCUUGAGAAUCCAAUUGGAAAACAAAGUCUUCUCUAGCAGCCUCUAGCUUCUUAUCAUAGCAAGGCAUCACAGUCACAUGGUAAAUUUCAUCUGGCCUAUUAAACAAGCAUUCAGCAAUCAAAUGAUUCACUCCUGCUAAUGCCUAAACAUGUAGAUUCACAUAAAAGGAAACUUUGCAUACUAUAUCUCUCCUAAAAUCCUAGGACUCAUAAGUGAAUAUGCCUUACAACACAAAUACACUGCUUCAAGGCUCCAACUUUAAUGAAAGAAUUACCUGAAACCCAAUUUUUGGCAAAUAUGGUGUUUGAUGGUAGCUCCAAUUGUCUGCUGAGGGCUCUUCACAGAGGAAAUAUAUGGAAGAAUAUAGGAGCCAAGUUGUUUUUCAGCAUAGCAUAUCCACCCUAAAAUAAAAGAAAGAUUUUCACAUAAUUGAACAACAUCCUUCCAUAAUCCUUAUAAGCAACAACUAUUGAUCAUUGAUAACACAAUGGAUGGUUUUAUAGUGUAAGGAGAUCAUCAUUAGUUGCCUAACAGGGAUAGACUUAAAUACCUGGACAUGCCGAUGACAGCAUGGGCAGGGAUGAAUUGGACCUUUCAUCAUCAGAUUCUUGGCUUUGUUUGUAGCGAGCAAUAAACUCAUUGCAAGCUUCAAUAAGCGUUAAGUCUCUACUGCAGCUCGUAUCAAAGAUGCUCUUCACUCCAAGCGACUUCAAGAAUGUUGUAAGUUUCUUGAAAACCUGAAAUUUUUUUCAAACAAAAGCCGACUUCACACUUAGAUCAUUGACUUGCAGUAUAAUAAGAAUCAAUAAUUCAUCGGACGUUUUCAUAAAAUUGUGUGACAUAUGAAACUUAAACAUCACCUUGACUAAGGAAACUACCCAAUAGCAAAAAAUCAUAGGAUGAUAUAAUCCUCAACCAAGAGAAGCAUACAAAACUUCUAUAAAAAAUGAUAAUUGAGCCCCGUUUUACCUGAAGAGGAGAGAUGCCAAAAUGUUCAGCAAGGGAAGCUCUUGACUGUGGAGAAAGGGAAAUAAUAACAGCCUUUCCUUUAUUAAUAUUUGAUAGGAACUCAUCCAAACUCUGCUUCUCAAGCAUCACAGUCUCCGCUGACGUAAUGCAUCCACUACCACGUGUCCAAAAAUAUCACAAAACAAUGAGCUUUUUCACCGGGGCAACAUAACAGAACAUGUAUAAAACAAUCAAUUACCUGCAAGCUAAGCAAUCCUUGAGUGAGAUUUUCACCGGUUCAGCCUGCUGCUUGCUGGAAGUAGAAACCUUCACAAUAAGGAAAACAAAAAUUACAAAUUGAAAUAAAGGGUAUUACUAAAGUCGCUUAAAAUAAAAAGAAAAAAGAAAAGGAAAUAUCAUUUAUAUGCACCUGGGGCUUAUCAGGGUUUUUAAAGGUAGCUUUUUUAAGAGAAACAACGCAAUUCUGAGACGGUGCUAUAAAAUCGCUGAGAUCUCCGAUUCUCAGCGUAGGCGAGAACUUCUCUGACAUUUCUCUUUCUUCAAUUCAACACUGCAUCCGCCGAAUUGAUUAAACAAACGGCGAUUAAUUCAGAGCUCAAUUUUAGGGAUUUUUUUAUUUUUUAUUUUUUGGAGGGGGUAGAUUAAUUCUGUAGAAAGAACAAAAAUGGAGGAGAGGCAGAAGAUACUCCACAAGGAGAGUUUUGAUUUUGAGGCGCGUGUGUUGUAGGAAAUGUUCGGUCGGGUCAAAGGCGGUUUUGGAUAUUGAGGAGGGAUUCAGUGAGGGCAAGGAGAUUGUGUUAGCCAAUGAGAUUUUUCUGAUUUGUGGAAAAGGAGUACAAGUCCAAGUGAUUCGGAUGUCUAUUGGUUACUGACGUGUACGUCUCUGAUUCCCUAGAUUAUAAAAGCACGUGCCCACCACAAUCCACAACCCUUGCUCCGUCAUCCGUGGCUACAGCAAGUGCAAUCCCCACAACCACAAAUUAGAAUCUGUGGCCCCAUGCCCUGCGAGAAAUUCAUUUACUUUACGCCGUGUGUCCCAUAUAUUUGAAAAAAUUAAGUCGUAUUUAUAUUAAAUUUAAUUAUACAUAUAAUAAUUAAUUAUGUUAUCUUAAAUGAAUAAUGAUAUAAUGAUAAAUUUUUGUAUAAAUUUAUUUUGUAUAAAUUGGUGUGGCAUAAUAAGAUUAGUUGAAUUAAAUAUCACUUGUUCUAUAUGAUUUAUUUUUAGUAUUUUAUAUAUUUUUUUUAACUAAUAAAUUAAUGACACGUCAGUUUAUACAAAAUAAAUUUAUACAAAAAUUUAUAGUUGUAUCAUCACUCUAUCUUAAAUAUACAUAAAUUUUGUCAUGCGGUGCCUAUCUUCGUCUUCUUAUUUGGUUAGUCCAUGGCAAAUUAUAUAACUAACCAUCUUCCUUUGUUCAUGCUUCACAACAUACAAUCGUCGUAUCAUUCCAUUUAUUAUGUUUGUAUUGUAUGCAAUAUGCCAUAAAUAUUUGUAAUAAUUAUUAUAUUUUUGUAAAAAAGUGAACUUUCGAUCAAGAAUUCCUACCUUAAUAUAAUCAGAUCAAAAGACAAAUAUAAAACAUAAAAUUUUUAUAUAUAACACAUAAUAUGGUCGCGUCAUAUCCUCGGGAAAUUUUCAAUAAUGUUUUGUCAUUUUCAUUUUGUUUUUUUGGGUUUAUUAUCAAUCUCUUAUCAGUUUUCUUCUCCAAAUUUUUCUCACUUCUUGAAAUAUAUAUGUUCACAGACUCAUGGUGUAUAUGAUCAGUUUGCAACAUGGAUUACGGCUAUGAAUUUGUAAUUCAAAAAAUGAAAACAUUUUGAAUUAUGAAGCAGGAUUCAUUAAAUUGUGAAAUAUUUGAGAAAAACGGGAAAUUGACAAAUCCUGCUUGGAAUAGGAAUGUUCAAAUUUCCAUACUUGGGAGAAACUUUUUAUUUUGUUCACUUUCUGUAAUGAAACCUGCUGCAUUAUGUGUGUGUGUGUUUACACAUAUGUUGUGUUAUUAAAUGCUAAAAAAGGUCAGACAGUGGUAGCCGGUCGUUGCAAAUCUUUAUUGUAGAUGUUGAAACUUCGAAACGAGUCUUAAUCUUUCUUCAUUUCUGGAGUUACAUGUAUGUGUGCCUCCGCUCUUUUGCAUCCACUCUUUGCUAAAAUGAAUUUCUGUUAAUGUCAUAACAAAGAUUUUAUGAUCGUAAUUGCUGAAAAUGAAAGCUGUGUAUAAUAAAUAUUAAUACAAUCUACAAAGACUCUGCAUUAAUUAUUUUAUUUAUCAAGUGGCUACUACUAGCUUGGGAUAGUCACAUACACAGUUCACUUUUCUUCAUCAUCAGCUUCUUAUUUAUCAUUCAUUUAUUGCGGCAGCAUCCAGCUUAACCUCCACCGACAACACCCCACCGAGCAAAGUAUGCUCAGUGAGUUAAAAUAUCUUACCACCUUGCACCAUUUUUGGCCUUGCUGCCACCAUACAAGCGGAAGAGACUGAAAGCAGAGAUACAAGACAGAACCACCAUACUUAUGCUAACCAAUAGAGCUGACGCAAUUCCCUCCCCUACUUGGUUGCAGAAUUUCCCGUACAUGUUGCAUAUCUUCAGCCAUUGUAAUUCUGGUUGUCCCAGCUUCGCAAACACUGCUGAUUGCGCAGCAGCUGCCACGGCAGCUACUGUCAAGUAUGCCAUCAUCUGCACAAACAAGUUAAUCCAUGCAGCACAUAUGGUUAUUGGCUAAAACAAAUGGGAUACUCGUUUCGUCUUACUUCUUAGAUUAGCUUAAUCAGUAAUUAAUGAUAUCAAUUUAGCACAUAAAUCAAGCAAUGUCAUAAAUAUUAUAUUGAACAACAUACUGCAAAUGAAAGUCCACGACCUCAAAAGGCUCUAACGGUAAUGAUAAAUUCACAAAGUACACACUCUAGAUAGACAUUCCAAAUUUAAGAAGCAAACCCUGAACAGGAAGCAGAUCAGGGAAAGGGAGGUGUUGAUGUAAAUUACGACUUGUAAUAUCCCAUAUCCAACACCCAAUCAAAUAUAGUCUUCCUUCACCUAAAAAACUCAAUUAUCAUAUGAAGCACUCAGUUAUCAGUGACAACCAACUCAUGGACAAUCAUGGAGAUUUCACCUGAUGAGAAAUAGAAAGAGAACAAUCAAUUAGAAUUGGCAGCAAUCAAAUAUUACCUGAUCUCCAGAGAAAAUUGCCCAGGCUAGUGGCUUGUUAAAUAGCACACUUCCCUUGAGCAUAGCAACAGUACAGCGCACCCCUUGCACUAAAGAGUAGGCUGCAGCUAUUCCAUUUGCUACCACCAAAAACCUGCAUUAUACAAGAGUAAGAACACAAGAAACGUACAAAUGCUUAGCCUAAGGUACAUAAAGCUAAAAGUUCAAGAUUUUAAGAGAUUUUAGAAGCUUACACAAGAGCUUUCAUGUCUGUAAACUUAGCUUUCUUUUGAAUUGAGAAGAUUUCUCUGACUUGAGUAUCAGUCCCAACAAGAACAGCAGCAAGAACACCUAAACCACAGAUCACACAUCUCAAAACCAACUCUACAAGCCUUAUUCUCCUAUCAACAACCUUCAUUACGGUGCCAUGAUACACUGGCACAUUCCCUGGACUAACACCAACACCCAAGUAACUCAUUUUUUUUUUCUUCCAAAGAUUUAACACUUAAAGGAAGAAAUCUGAACAGAAGGAGAAUAGAAGAGUUCAGGACACAGCUCUCAAAUCCAGAAAAAUAUCCUAACCUUUGCCCAACAUCAACCACCACGUUCCACUUCUUAAAUAGGCACCCAAGAAAAUAAUUUUUCUCAUUGAAUAUUAAAAAAAUACAGCACUGCUAUGCCUGUACAAGAAUGAAUAGGCUGUGAGAGUACCAAGUGGUAAAGACAGGACCUGGUAGCUCUACGCCUCCUACAGACAAAGGGCACUGCGCCUCUGAAUUACAGCAAAGGAGUAUUAAAUAUGAAAGAGAAAACUUGAGACUAAAAAUUUUAACUCUUUUUUUCCGGGAAAGGCCAUAGUUUGUUGUCCCAAGGAAGGUGUCAGAUAAGGUAAAAGAGGUGCCUAUUGAAUGAAGAUGAUGGUAUUGGUAGAAUUCAUGAGGACCCAUUUCUCUCAACAAUAUAGUAGAAAGAACAAAAGUCUUAUUACAAAACAAAAAACAAUGACCCUGUUUAAAGGCUAAACGUGAAACAAAAGCAAAUCGCUCAUGAUAAAAAACUGAGUGAUGAAAUGAUUAAAGUGGCAUGCUUUGAUGCUUGCUAGUGGUUUCGUCUAAAGUGGUGGGUCAUUUGUUCGAGGGACGUAGUGAAGGCUUAUUUAAUUUAAUUUUUAAAAUAUUUAUUUAUUUAUAUUUAUGUGAUAAAUAAAAAAUAAUUUUUUCUCUUAUCAAAUUUAAUUAUUCUCUUUUUUUAUUUAUAUAAUUAUUGUAUUUCUUUUUCUUUGUUCUUUAACAAUGAUACUAAAAUAAUAAUAUUAUAUUAUUAAUUUUUUAAAAAAAAUUCUUAAAAGACUCAUUUAAUUUUAUUCUUUAGACAUUUAUUUACUUACUUAUAUGUUAAAUAAAAAAUAAAAAAAUAAUUUUUUUUUCAAAAUUCUUUAAAUAAAAACAAAUUUCCAUUAUUUUAAUCAAACUCCUCCCAAAUCAAAUUUAGUUAGCAUCUAUUUUCGGAGAUGCUUGUUAUUAAUGAGAUAGAGACAGACCAUUCAAGGUUAACUUUUCUCUCUCGACAGUGUGGACCCACGUUCUCUGAACAAUUUCAAGCACUAAAAAGUCAAAAAGCAUGCCCAAUAGAUAAAAAAGGGGGUGAAAUGGUGCCACGGGUUGAGUACUUCAAGCCAUUUCCACCUACUUAAUUCCAUUAUCAAUGCUUAGUCUAUCUCCUUGUGUUGCGAUGCAAAAUUCCAGAUCGUCCAAAAGAGAUGGCAACGUCAAUGAUCAAACUCUAUCAAUUGUUUGUGGGAAAGUACUGCCUAUUGUCAUCUUUACGCGAUAUAUAACUUACAUGAAUUUCCACUCUCCCACAAGCAAUCUAUUAUCAUCAUCGCCUCAAAUGAGUGCCUCAUCAUCCACUAUGUUUAUAUUGAUUAUCACAGAAAAUAUUUAAAUAAGUACAAUAAUUGUGUGUUAACCAUUCAAAUUCAACUUUCUUUAUCUAAUAAUUACUACAACUACAACCUGUCAGAAUCUAAAUUAAACUAUAUAUUUUGUUUGGACAGUUUACCUCUUAGAUUAUCUUUUCAGGUUAAGUGGCAAGUUAACAUGACAGCAGAGUCAAUUUUUCCCAAGAAAUUUUGUGUUUGAAUCACAUUAAUUAAGUCUAGUCAAGCGAUAAUUACUGGGCACAACCCAAUUGUAGAUGUUUUCAAAAGACCAAAGAUGGGGCUUGGGAGGUGUGUUGCGUAUGGAAGGUGAUUCAAUUGUAUUGUCACAAUAUUGGCCAUACUUUGGUCAUUGCAUACAUAUGUGUAAUAUACGAUUUUGCGUGCAUUGUAUUUCCCCAACGUAUGGUCGUGAAUGAUAACAGAAGUGGUGAAGUAAAAGCAAGAAAAAUGUAGAAGAAAUUUCAUAGACAAAAUUGAAGUUCAGUCGACCGGGAUAGUGGGUCACUGACUCACUGUCUCAUAUAAUCCUCACUAGCCCUUAGAAUUAAUGUGAACCAUAGGAUAGAAAAUUGCAUUUGCUCUCUAGGACUAAAUAUAUAUGGUGAUGAAUGAAUUAAUAAUGUUGACAAUGAUGAGACUCCCCAUGUUCUAUAAAUGCAUAAGAUAACUGCACAUUGUUUUUAUCUCUCAUGAUCAUAUGGCGAUGAAAUUGACAGUCUCGCAUCUCCUCAGAACUAACGCCAUAUCUGUCGGCGUCCAUGCAGCCCUGCUGUAAGAUGGCCCACAAUUCAUGGAAAAUUAACAAAAGAUAUGAGCAAGUUGUUGCAUAAGAAGAAGAGGGGAAAAUGAAAAAUAUAUUGGCCCUUCAUUGGGCAAGGAUCUCUGGCUCUGUGCAGUGUGCAGCAACAUUGUUUGUAAUUCUAGCGAUGCUGCAGAGACAGAGGCCGAUCAGCAUGCAUUGAAUUGACAAUCAGCUGAUCCCACUUAAUUUUAAUUUCAAUCUUAAUCUUGUGUGAGAGGCCUAAGUUGUAUAUAUCAAGAGUGUUUGUGAAUUGAUAGAUUACUACUAAUUAAUCGAAUUAGAUCUCUUGUAAUCGGUUAUUGAAUAAAGCACUGUUGCACAGAAAAUACUAUUCUAAUACGUUAAGUGAGACCAGGACCAAAUAAGCCACUGCAAUUCGCAAGCAAAACUGAAAAUUCACUUCCCAUUAUGAUAAUGUUACUACUAAAAUUUUCAUCAGAUUUUAAGAUCUAUCAAUAAAGCAGAGAAAAAAGGAAAGAAGAUUUGACAAAAUCUUCAAUACUUUAAAACUCAUGGACGAUAUUCGAAUUUGCAAGAACGAUGACCUGCCAUCACAGAUAAAAAGAGACGUUAUGGCAUGUAUCAAAUUUAAAAUACCAUACGAUCUAGAUAACUGAUACGAUAUAUCUAUUGGGAAUGGGNNNNNNNNNNNNNNNNNNNGAGAAUUGCUAUGAUGUAGAUAUAAGCUGAUGAGAUGAGUUUAUUAGAGAUUGUUAUCUUACUUGGGUCAAGAUCAGUGAUCAUUGCAGCAGCAUGGAAGUAGCAAGUUGCUCCUUGAUGCUUGAACUUUUGGUAGUAGUCAUUGAAAGCAUAAGAGGCAUGGUCCCUCAAAGUGUUGGGAAAAUAACAAGGCUGCUUUGCUUGUAACUUGUUACAAUCAGCACCUCCUUUUCCACAAGCCCAAUCAAGUGCCAUUUGCAGCUCAUCGUCUGGGGUUUGGCCGUCAGCUAUACACCAUUCCAUGAAUUCACCAUCUGAUUAUAAUACACAAAUUAACAAAUUGCUAUUCGGUACCAUCCAUUAACUAAAGCUAUGAUUGCAGAUGGUGUUACCUGAUGUUUGCAGAGUAGAAAUAGCAAUAAGAAAAGCUAGUAAAAUGCUUAACAAAGCAGAUGACAUUGGAAGUUUCAGAAGCUAGCAACUGUCUGUAUGUCUUAUACUUACAAGUACUGGACAUUGCAUCUCCAAAUAGUUUGCUUGCUCUAUAUUUAUCAAGUAUCUGUAUGUGAAGAAAAAAGAGAAAAGAAGAGUUGUGGGCUUUUCCCAAAGCCUAGAUUCCAUUAGUCUCUAUGAGUUCCUUGGAUCUCAAGAUAACUGUAGUUUUUUUGUUUUUUGACUGGCAAUGGCAUAGCAUAACUACCCUUGUUCUACACUGUGUUGUGCAGUCUAUACAUUAUUCGAUAUCAAUAUCAAUUAUAAUUAAGAAGCACAGCUUGCAACACUCGGGGAAAGGAGACAUGGUUCGACUUAAUUUUCAUGUUUAUUCCUAAUUUAUCCUAAACAGAGUGCAACAAUUUUAUCAGUCACAAUUAAUUAAUAGUUUCGACGGCAGUGGUUGUUUGGUAUUUGCACAAAAAGAGAGGAGCAGGAGCAAGAUCCUAUAAUUAAGAUCUCUUUUGCAAUGAGAGAAUCAAGAUUACCCUAUUCCUAAGCAAACUUGAACAAUCUGUACUGCUUUUUUUUUUUUAAUCUGGAUCCAGUCAAUUUUAUUUUUUUUCUUUUUACUUUUCCUUUUUCUUUAUCGCCACCACGCCAUGGAAGAGAAUUUCGUGUGCCUGAAUUUGAUCAAAAUCGCACAAAUGAAAGACAAGAAAGAAAGGGACCCAAUUAAUACUUCAUAGAACUAGAAUUUGACAAUACAAACAAAAUUGGGGACCUAUAAGCUGUAUGUGCAAAACUAUGUAGUUAUUUAUUUUUGGGCAAAACAGAGGAAGCCAAUGGUACAAUAUUAUUCCUCUGGACGCUGUAAUGCACAAAAACGAUCAAAGCCCAUGUCUCAGCUGAAAAAGAAAAGAAAAGAUAGUACCCCAAAAGUGAUCCAACCUGGCCCGGCCCACUAUCUUCUCCAGAUAUAUAUAGCUGGUGACGUUUAUGAAAACCCUACAAUCUAGUUCUAGCUGCAUAGCAGCAGGAAGUCAGUAACAGUAGUCAAUAGAUCCUCUUGAGACUCAAACUGCUGAGUUUUGCUGUUCUGAGUGUAACCCUCGGCUGGCUGUCUCAAAGAAGUAUAGAGGAUCUGAAAUUAAAGCGGCAUCUCAGAAAGCCAGUGCUUUUUGUAACCCCAUCGGCUCUUGGCUCGCUAUGGUGCUCACACUUUUUUUUUUCCCCCUCCCCUUCCUCUCUCUGCUUUCUGGUACCAUUGGUCUUUAGAUUCGUUUUCACAUCAAGUGGUAUUUUUCUUGAAAUUGAGUAAAGAGUUAAUUGGCACAUGCCUAUCAGUUUUGAGUUAAGAGAAAGUAAUGCCAUUUUUUUUAUAAGUCAAAAACAAAAUUAUAUACGAUCUUCGUAUAAUUGAUGCAUUUAUCAGUUUUUUUAAUUAUACUGUUGGAAAUAUUGUUUUAUAUUGAGGCAAUUCAAUCCAAUUGCGUAGCUUAACUCAAUGGCACAACUCCUGCUGCAAACUGCAAUACAUUGCACUUUGAGAUUCCCCCCCCCCAAAAAAAAAAUCCAUCAAUCGCGGUGCCUGAGAAAUCAGAAAACAGAGGAGCUGAGUCAUCUCAUCUCACUACUUAUAUAAUGAUGUUUCCGAAAGGGUAAUUUUUAUCCCGCACCCAAAUGUUUUGACGUACAGCACAACGCACCCAAUUCUUUUGCCUAUGAGCACCGUGCACCCAUUUCCGUUUAUUUUUCAGUUAACUGUAACGGAUCAGGGUAAAAUUGGAAUAACUCAUCAAAAUUUAAAAAUAAAAAAAUAGGUAAACUCGAUGUUUGCGCCAAAAUAAUUUCACAUCACUGUGCUUAUGUUCACUGCGUUUGCGUGUGAGACCAAGAAGCAUGGCCACACCUCCAUUGAUGCCAAAAUCGAGGAGGUGGGUGAAGAAGGAUUGGCGCCAAAAUCAUUCACAUAUGAUGUACAAGGAAAUUAUUUCAGCCUUUAAAUACUUUUUUAUUACAGCAGCAUCAGCUAUUGCUCUGUUUCGAAGAUCUGCUCAAUUUCUAAGACAAUAGUUGGUUUGAGAGUUUAAGGGAAGUGAAUCCACUGAGCGUGCUAUUGAAGAAGUGGAGGUCAGUUUCAUUUCUUGCUCAAUUGUUUUAAUUUAUUCCAUUUUGUUUGCAUGUCAAUUAUUUACACAUUUUUAGCUGGAUUUUGCUUAUCUAUAAAACUUGAAUCAUUGUUAAUCAAAUCAGCUAUAAUUUACGCCUCAAUGUGGUUUGUAAGUUUAAGUUAUGUUGGCUUAUACCUCAAUAAUGUGGUGUUUGCGUUAUUGAUUUCAAUUUCUAUUGAUGAUUUUGAGUAUACAUAUUAGUUUAUGAAAGUUUUUAAUUAGGAUGAUUGGUCACACAUAUAUGUCAUAACAACUGUGUUUUUUUGGGUUAUGGUUGUACUGUAGAUCAGUAGUAGUAGUGAUUUGGAUAUAAACGCUAGUGCUUUUAUUGUAAAUGAUAGUGAUGAAGAUCCAGUGUUACUGAAUUUGAUGUAAAAGUUAUUGGUUUUUGGCUAAAUAUCUUAGAUAAAUAUGAUGCCCAUGCAAUCAAAUCCAAUGCUUAUGCAAUUUACACCAUGUUUAUGAUAAGUAAUUAAAAAAAUAAAUGACUAUUCCAGGUGAAAAUGGAUGAUGAUGAUAUUACAACUGUUCUUUGUACAUUCAAGGGCAAGACAUAUAAUGUUGGUGUAAUUGAUCCAGAUAAGUUUAGUAGAGUUUCUGUAAUUAACAAGGUUUUGGUUAGAGUCUAUGGAAGAAAGAUGAGGCCUGAUGAGAAGUUUACACUAAGUGUUUGGGUACCAUGGGUCUAUAAGGAAGUAGAGAUUAUGUCUGAUCAUGACUUAAUAUUCCAGCUGAGAGAGCAUAAUAAGAUGUUGUUCUACUGCAUGCAAUUGUAUAUUGAAGAAAUCCAUGUACCUCAUGAGUUUGUACCUAGAAGGGCUUUGUUUCAGCACUCAGCAGAAGAAAGCUUACAAGGGUAUGCUGAAACAAACUUUCCAGCCACUACUGACCUGAACAAACCUUAUACACAUGCUACAUCCACCAACACAAAUCCUUAUGAAAAUGACAGUAAUGACCAUUCGAACCAUGAACCCCCUGUCAAGAACUCCAGCAGCAUAAUGAUGCAUAAUGUUGCACUUGAUAGCAUCCAAUCACAGACCAAACCAGAUACCAACCCUGACCUAUAUCAAGACUUUUUGGAUACCUAUAUCACUUGCCCUGUCUGCAGCUUCUUCUUC